RNAcentral lists this long non-coding RNA (66655 nucleotides) under Musa acuminata (dwarf banana). Its description in RNAcentral is "long non-coding RNA (MACU_LNC007744)". Lineage: Eukaryota; Viridiplantae; Streptophyta; Magnoliopsida; Zingiberales; Musaceae. The record is from RNAcentral.
CGGAUUAGAAAGACAAGCACAAGGGAUCGAGUAGUAGCAGCAACAGGAACAACUAUUUCAUCUCACACACCAAAGGAUAUACAUCUCAGUGUGGUUAUACAACUCGGAGAACGCAGCUAACACGAUAGCAUCGUCGACAACAACUCCAACUCCAACACCAACAAAAAGCAGCAAGCAACAAAAGCAACGAAUACGAUCUAACCGUAGCAAACCUAAUCGAAACAAAGCCAGCAGCAGCAGAUCUACAUGGACGAGGGGAGGAAGAAGAAGAAGUCAGCAGCCACGAGUCAACCCCUGAUGUGGCGAACCUUGUGCCAGGUCUUCUUGCAGGUCUCCCCCACCACCUUCAUCCCCUUCUUCACCAGGUGCUUCAACUCCUUGGCUCGCUCCUUCACCUGCUCCUCGAAGCCUCCGGCCAUGGCGACCUCUCACGCUGUGUUCCUUCCCACCCAGAUUCCACUUCUUUAAUAGGGAUAUCUAUGUGUGCAUCGCUCUCUCCCUCUCCAUACUUUUAUUUUUUAUUUUUAUUUUUUGUAAUGUAUACGUAUCCAGUGGUGGGAUUUGAAAUAUGCCGUGAUACGUGCCAUGCACCGUUGGGAUGAUCAUGGUUUGCACGAUUUCCGGGCUUUUGAAAAAGAUAGCAGUGACCGAGUUGGAUAGCAGAUAAGAACAGGGUGUAAAGCAAAGGCUCUUUUACAGAGACGAGACAGAGAUGAUGAAGGUAAAACAAAUACCAUCGAAACACGUUAUAAUCCUAGCAAAACAUGCGACAUAAACGUAGAAUGGACCACAACCCCGGACUCGGUGGCUGUCACUGCAUCAUCCUGUGACAAGGUUGUGGGCACCAGCUCUGCAACGCUCACAUGAAUGCAAGAUUGCUUCGUACAGAUCCCGCGGAUCCAUGCAAAACGGUGGGGGUGACAAUAAUACGUCCGACCUAAAAUUGAUCAGGUGGGGUGCAGGUCCUUUUUGUCCCAACUCUUAUAUUUCAGUUUUAAAUUUGGAUCGAAUCUUCAUCUCAAAGUUCAAAUAUAUUAUUAUUAUUAUUAUUACAAUAAAAUUAGAUCCCUCUCGUCUCAUCAAGAUUAUAUGCGAUUUGCAUGUUAUUUGAUGUUUUUUCUAUAUAGAUUAAUUAUUAUGAUUUAAUGGAUCAAAAUAUUUAAAUUUAAAUUCAUAUAUUCAUCAAAUCUUUAUUAGUUAAUCUUAAUUUUUACUCACUUUUAAUAUAAACUUUGACAUCAUUAAUCCAACCAAUGGUCCAAAAAAGACACCAACAGUUUAUAAUGGUGUAGCCAUUUUAAUCUUUGUUAGCCAUACGAAUAUAAGAUAUAUUCUCAAAUGAAGACAGAUCAAUUAUGACCCACAAAAUGGAAUGCAAAUGGUUUGCUGGCAUCGAAGGGGCAAAACCUCAGCUUAAAAGGAAUGCAGCUGGUGAAUACAUGUCAAUGAAAACAGUAACAUACUCCAUAUGAAAGUCGGCGAUGCCACCUGCUAUCAAUUUUGAACUUUCCUAGGAAACCUUUAGUAGAUAUUUCUCCUUUACCCAAAGGAAGAACACAUUUUAGUCAGCAUAUGCAUUUGACAAGAUAGUCCGUUUGAUUUAUUAGUUGCUUUCCUCUUUCAGCUACAAAAAAUCAGAUUUACUCAAGGUGAUUAAUUUCAUGAUUCAACCAUAGAGUAUAAAUCUCUCUAAGAAACAAAAGAAAAGUGAACAUGCAACUAAAUGAAAGCGAUCUUAGUGUACAUCCUUGAUAUGAAUUUACGACAUCAUAGUUAUUAGUAAUAUCAUUGCAUUAUAUACAGAAUGAAUGGCAAAGCAAGGAGUCAAUUGGCCAGUCCAACAAUAUGCAGAACCAACAACACAACCAAUGAGGAAGAGUUGCAGAGAAUUCUCACCAGAGAAGUGGCCAAUGCUGAAAACAAAUGAACUAAUAAUAACAGCUUGCCACCAUUUCAUUGUGGAGGAUAGAGAUGAUAGAAGGAACCCCCGAUAAACAGUUUCCUCCAACAAAGGACUAACGAGGCAAUACAGAAAAAAGCAUGACAUCAUAGACAAAGGGCUAUCCGAAAGAAUCUUUUUCAAGAUCGGGUCAUUCACAUCCUGCAAGCAACCACAGAAGAACUAAUUUAGUCAGAAAAGAAGCAGAAAGUAGUUUAAAUGCUCAUAAUUAUCACUACAUCAAAUACCUGCAAGUUCAUUCCACAUUCAAAUUGAUUCUCACCAUAACAUACACUUUAGCAAGUGCUAGGAUGUAAAAGAACUAGUUUACCACACAUAAGCAGAAGAAAACUUGCUCGACAUGGUUUUACUUUUUUCUUCUUUCUGUCCCAGUAAACCUACCAGAAUAGUGAUACCACGAAUACAGUUGUUUAUUAUUACAUAGCGGAUAUAUCUACUUACCAGUAAAACCUACCUACCAGAAUAGUGAUACCAUAGAUGUUCAAUAUGUUCUUUGAAAGGUUUGUUUCAUCAAUCAUAUUUUCGGAAUUAAGAAUCUUUUGUCGCAGUUGUAUUUAAUAUGUAAAUUCAACACUUCUUCAGCAAAUAACAGUUCAACUUGCCAUAGCUUGAUAACAUGAGUAUUUAGACUUCUAGAAGGUAAAAAAAAAAAGCCUCCUUUGCAAUCAAAAUAAACUAAAAUCCUGCUACGAAGUCAAUAGAGGAAAUUCUAGGCAUUAAACAUAGCAGUUUAGCUUACCUUAGGUCCAACCAGCAUGUCAGCAACUAUGGAUGUGAGAAACACUAGCCCAAUCAAAGUACCAAUCCCCACAAUAGAUGCUGUGAUGCAGCUUCUUCCUCCCCAAAACCACUUUGCAUGGAAGAAUCUGCAAACAUCAUAUUGCGGCUUUGCAUUAAAAUGCAACAGUGUUGAAACUCCAACAUACUCUGUAACUUGUAGCACAGUGAUGGACACAACCUGCAUUGAACAGAAGUGGUGAUUGUUUAAUCAACAAAGAACAGCUUUUUUAAAGUAUGUGAAUCACGUGUUUCUACAACAUUUGCUAUCUGGAAUAGCUCGUUCACCAUCGUCAGCGGAUCAAGGUUAGGUUCAUGAAGAAUUUGAGCGAUGACUGAGAGCCCUCCAAAGCUCAAAGGAACGUGCAAGACGAAGAAAUAGGCCGCACAUAUGGACCAUACGUCACUAUUUUCCCAUGGUACGUCGGAUGGAAGCACUGAAAACCCCUGUUUUCCAGGAGAAAAUUAAAUCAAAUUAUCCACGUCACCGAACCAAUCUGGCGCUGAUGAUACUGAAGUAAAGGAGGAACGACAGGAAAGGCAAACAGCUGAUUCCAGGAAACGGAGAUGGAAUAGGCAUUGCCUCGAACAGUUCAUCUGCGCUAUCCUUCCCGGCGCAGAAGCACCUAAAGAAAGAUCUCGUGCGCACCCUGGAUUGGAAACCGCGAAAUGGGAUUGAAACGCACGGGAGGACGCUGGGAUGUUCAGAAGAGCUAGCAGGUUUUGGAAAGGUCGACGACGGGGAGAUUCGGGGAGGGCGUGGAGAAGCCACUGUUAUCAUCAUGGGCGUCGCUUCGGUUUUCCUCAGCCGUCGAUCCCAAGAUUUAUGUUUGGUAUCUAAAUAGAAGCUUUAAGAUUCGAAGAAUCGAGAUCGAGAUUUUAUUCAUAGCUAGGCGACGUUGAAGCUUGAAGAAGAAGCCCUGUCGUCAAAUUUGGGUCGGAUCCAUCCCGAACCCAUCCGACCCAACUUGGCCAGCUCCAGAAGAUAAGUAAGUCAAAUUAGAAGAUUUGUUUUUUCCAAGCAACAAAAGAUAAUAUAUUACUUCAAAACCCUCAUCCAGGUAUAGCGAUGCUAGUCCUCCACUUACAACCUUUCGCACAUACGAGACUAAGCAUAAUAAUUAUCUUUUCUAAAAAUAUGAAUCACUCACUCCAUAAAUAAGUUAAGAACAAAAAUCCAGAGAACCAAAUAAGAAUAAAUUUUGAUCAUGAACUAUUUGAGUCGUUAUGAUUUAUGGUUUACUCAUGUCUAAAAUAACUCAUACAUUUUAAAAAAUAUAGCAUAUAAGUCCCUUCCGUCAAGUCUUUAUUAAUAAAUAUUAUAGUAUGCUUAGCAUGACUUAUAAUAAAUCAUUAAUAUAAUUAUAUAUAAUUUAAGUUUAAAAAAAAUGUUAAAAUCCAUUUUAGCCCAUAUGGACUUGGUCAUUCACCACUUAAGUCUUAUGACUUAUUCAUGUUUAAAAUAACUUCUAUCUUUUCAAAGACGUAGUAUAUAAGCCCCUCUCAUCAGGUUUGAGUUAAUAGACAUUAGAGUUUGUUUACGUACUAUUCUGACUCAUAAUAAAUCAUUAAUAUAAUGAUAUAUGUAGUUUAAGUUAAAAAAAAAAAAAACUGAGACCACCAUCAAUGACCGAAUGAAGUGUUGUCAUGGAAGUGACCACCAACAGUAGCACUGAGCCACUACUACGCAAGGCAUCGUACACACGCAACCACUCCCACAUUGACGAUGAGCUCAAGAGCUUCCGAUCUUACCUCAGGUGGAUGUUCAUCGACUAGCCUAAUGCUAAGCAUGCAAUGGUCUCCUGUUCCCUCUUCCUCCUCUUGGGUAUCUUUGUCCCCAUCAUCUCCCACUUUGUCCUCUCUUAUACCCCCACCCACCAUGCCUAUGAUGUGGUGAUCCAACUCUUCCUCACCUCUGCCUCUUGUCUAUCCUACCUUUGCCUCUCCACUUUUGUUCAUUGUUACGGCUUUUGUCGCUUCCUAUUCUUCAAUAAUAUAGACAUAAUCAAGAGAAGAACCACCACUAAAAGAAAGAGCAUUAUUGGAAUGAGACAAGGUAAGACAUUGGAGAGAAGAGAAGGAUUGAGAUUAGAGUUUGGAGUAAAAACUAAAGAAAAUUCAACAUACAUCUUGGCAUACGGUGGAACUUGAACUCAUAGAAGCUCCAACACGUUAGAGGCACCUCAUGACUUGGCCUCUACGGUAAACUCUUUGGUCCUGCUCCUCUUGAUAUCAUUCAAUCUUCUCUUUCAAAAUUUUAAAAACUCUCGAAGAGUUUUUAAGCUAUUAAUCUUAUUAUAGGUUAUCUUUGCUUUCACUUCUAAUCCAAAUAAGAUAUAAUAAAUACCCUAGAUUAUGAUUUUUGAUUCUCAUGAGUAAUGACCUCUCCUUAUUUCUAUGGAAUGAGAAUUUUUAAACUCUCAAAGAACGUAUUACCAUUAUCCCCAUGUAAAUCUAUACGCCAAACCCACCCAUAAAAUCCUUUGUCCCUCGAAUCAUCUUCCAAAUUGCUACCAAAGUAGGUAUCCCUCUUAGGGUUGAUGACAUCACUAUCUUUAGGGCAUGAGCAAAAUUUACAAAGGUCAAUAUUCUUCUUAAUUUCUCUCUUCCACUUCCGUAAUUCAUCUAGGUGAAAAUAGGAAAGAUGGACUUUGUUCAAACCAUAGCAUAUGAAAAUCCCCUAAAAAUCAAUUACUCCUAUGGCUAUUGGGUUAUAAGAUAGCUCAAUGUAUGUCUAUGAAAUCAUCAGAAAAAUCGACCUGAGGAUAUUUUCAGCAUAUAGAUCAUCCUCUCUACUAGAGAAGGCCAAAUGUAUGACCCGUGGAUGUCCAACAUUGACCUAGACCCAAGAGGGACCCAACCCAAACCAAAUCAACCUGCACUAACCACAUCCCUAUCAUGAAUCCUAAACAAUCCCUAAUCUACAUAGUUAAGUUCAACCUUAAAACUCAAUUCAACUAUUUUAGGGAGGAAAAGAAAAACACUUGAAAAUCAAGAUAAAAAAAAAGAAUAUCCAAGAUAUAACAUAGUUCAGUAACUCCCUACCUACAUCCAAAGAGAAAAUCAAAUUCUCUCACAUAUAUGAGAUCAAUUACAAGGCCCUUGAGUUCUCUCAAGCACAACUUUUUUUUUAUAUAUCCUCUGAUUCAAAUAUGAAAAAUUCUUCAUUCAAUCCUUUCUAGAUUUACUAGACUAACUCUUAGAAGUAAUGAAAGUAUCUUAUAUCUCCGCUUCACUAAAGCUGAAGACUCAAGGUAUAUUUAUAAACAUAAAUUCUAUUCUUUAAAGACUCUUCCUACUUGAAUCCAUAAUCUAAAUCAUAAUCCACCAAUGAGUUUGGAUAUAAUUAGGACUCUUUUUAGUAGUUUGAAUAUAAUUAGAACUCUUAAAAUACUUUCAACCUUGAUAAAUCACUCAAGGGUAUAGUGCUCCUUCCCAAACCACUAAUCACAUUAAACUAACUAUUCAUCGGAGAAGGGAAAGGUUGGGAACAUGAUGUCACCCUAGAUUUUGGGGCAUUGCUUGGAAAAGGGAAGGGUUGGUAGCUAGUAAAGUUGAUUUCAAUUCCUAUACAAUCUUAACAUAUGCCAACAUCAUUCCCUUGACCGAUUCAUCUAGUAUAGUAAUUGUUAUAUCUAAUGUCUCGCCUCCGAAGUCUGCUCUCUCAUCAAUUACGAUGAAGAUUGAACUAAUAUCAUCCUUAGACACUUAAAUCUCUUUAAUUACAAAAGAUAAUAUAUUUUUCUAACCAAAAGACUCCCUUACAUCAUUUACCUUCUCAAACACUACCUUGAUGUAUAACACAACUCAUCUUCCCUUGUUCUCUAUUUCCUCUUUAUCAGUUUCAUCUACAUAUAAUCUAUUUUUGCAAGAACAUAGUAAACAUAUCUUGCUGAGUCCUUGAUCUAAAAUUCUCUCUCCCUUGAACCUUCAUAAAAAUGAAUAUUUUCAACUCUUAGUAGAUAAGGUGGAAUAGGGAUUCUAUAAGACUACUAACCAAAUAACUAAAAAACACGCGAGCAUCCUCCUAGAUGAUGAUGACCUAUAGAAUGGUCUCAUUUUCCUCAAAAGUAAGGACAUAAGACUAGAUUAGUCUCUCCUAAGAGAGUAUCUCUUUCUCUCUCCUUUAUUUCCAAAUACAUAAGUAGAAAAGAAAUAUUAGACUCCAUAAAUACUCUUUUUUUUUAGUAAAUAGCAGACAACUCAUCCUUUCUUUCCCUCGUGAAACUAUUAAGUUAGAACUGUAGAAGUGCACACAAUCGUGAUUGUCUCAAUCAUUUAUUAUAUUCAAUUAGAACUAUUUACAUUAGCAUUGUUAUACUAUCGAAAACUCAUCUUAACUUGGAGACUAAUCAUAGGUACAUCUAUAAGCUCAAUUGUGAUUGGAAAUGAAUCACCUCUCCUACCCAUGGUCGAUCUAGAGAAAUCAUCUUUGCUUGGAAGCCCAAUAAAACAUGUGUCUAUCUAGUGAGCAAGGAUGCUCAAACCUUAUACUUAAUAAUAGAAGAACAAGGUAAAUCUUUAUGGCUUCUUUCUAUAAUUUAUACCAGUACUAUUUUUUAUAUAUGUAAUUCACUUUGAAAAAAAUCUUUCAUCGCAUGCUUUUGAAUCCUUUGCCUUGGUCUUUUUAUGAUGAUUUCAGUUAUAUUAUCAAUCCCAAGGAAAAAAUGGAGGUACUUCAUUUCAAAUCAAUAAUUCUAAUACAAUUUUAUAUGAUUUCAUAUUCUCAUGUAAAAUUUUCGAUCUUGGUUUUCGUAGUCCAAAUUUUAGUUGGUCAAAAAAUUAGUGUAGUCCUUCUAGAGUUUUAACUAGGCUUGGUAAGCUCUUGCUAAUGAUUUCAGACUGAAAUUAUACCCUUCUAAGAAUAUAUAUAUUUUUAUCUCAAUUGCUUGUUUUUUGAUCACUACCCCUUAUUGAUCCAUAUCAACCUUUCUCCGUAUUCUAAACCAAUCAGAUCUUUUAACUUUGAAUCAUAUUAGAUCAACUAUCUUGACCUUAGAAUCUUGACCUUAGAGGCUUAGAGCAACCUAAACCUUCAUACUUUAUUUUUGAUAAUAUUCAUAAUUAUCUAACCAAACUAAGUACCAAUAUCUCUAAAUAGAGUAAAGUGGGGUGAUAAAUGUUAAAAUAAACUAUGUCACUUGGGAGACUAUGUCUAGGUGGUACCAUCGCCCAGAUUGGCGUUACCACAACCUAGUCUGACGAUACUAUCGCCUAACACAAUCUUGGAGACUGAGCCACUAGCGGUGCUAUCGCCUAGACCGUUGGUACCACCACCUGACUAAACUUUUGGGUCAUUGAAUGAGCCUUUCUCUUGCCUCAAAACAGCCCCAAUUCGGGCCCAGUUGGCCCCUAAUUGAGUUAGCUUAAUUACAUUCUAAACCAACCCAAUUAUGACCUCAACUAACUCGAUCUAGACAAAUUAUUUUGAAGCACGAAUCAUUUGUUGUCCGGCAUGUCAUUGGUUUUUCCAACGCUUCGUCCGAUCCUUCGACGCAUCAUUCUCUCCUUUGGCGUAUUGCCCAAUCAGCAUAUUGUCUUCUCGUAAUAUCCAAUCUUCUUGGCGCAAUGUCCGAUCUUCUUGGCCUGAUGCCCGAAUUCACGGAUUGAAACCUUCUAUCGACAAAUCGACCGAUCCUUCGGCUCGACGUCCAAUCUCCUGACAUGUUCAACUUUGACCCAACAUCUGAUUCCCCUUGCUUUAAUUAAUUUGUCUCUCUUGAUCGAAGCUAGUCUAGUGUUACUCAAAACGUAGAUUAGAUCAUAACAUUAUCAAUUAAUUUCAUCAUCAAAAUCCGAGAUUCAAUAAUCUCUCCAUUUUUUAUGAUGACAAUCAAUUGAUGACAGAGUUUAACUAAACUCUCCCUAUCAAUAUGACAUAAAUAAGAUGAACCUUGAAUUAAAAUUAAAUUUAAGUCAAAGUAAAUUUAAUCAUAAAUAUUUCAUCAUUGAAUGCUUUAGUAUCAUAAGUUGAAAUAUUGCAUGCAUAAUACCAAAUUAUCAUGUAUAUUUUCAAAAUAUAAAAUUAUCAUUACAUGCAUGAUUCCAAAUCAUCAUUUAUAAUAUCAUACCAUACAUAAUCAUCAUCAUACCUUCUCCACUUUUGUCAUCAACAAAAAGAAGAAGUGCAACUAUCAAUAUUUUAGAGGUAUAAGCUUAACAAUUAGUAAAUUUCUCAUCACUUUAGAACAUGCAAACUAGUGAGUUCUUUCUUCUCUUUUGAGAAGUGCAAGCUAGUAAUUUUUGCUUCCUUUACAAAACAUAAGCUAGCAACAAUUUUGAGUUUUGAAAGUUUGUAAAUUUUGCUAGAUGUGUAAGUUAGCAUGUUUUCUUUUCUUUACGAUGUUCAAACUAUCAAGUUUUUGAAAGAGAAUGUGAGAUAGUAAAUAACAAGUUUAGAACAUGCAAGUUAGCAAGUUUCUCACAUAUGAAAGUUGGCAAAAAUUUUGUAUCUUUUGAGAUGAGCAAGCUAGUAAGUUUUUCUUACUUUUGCAAUGUGCAAGCUAGCAAAUUUAGCAAGUUUUACAUCAUUUUCGAAUAUGCAAGCUAACAAAUUUUAUAAUAUUUUAAAACAUACAAACUAGCAAUUUUAUCUCCCCUUUGUCAUUGUCAAAAAGAAGAGAAGAAUAUAAUUUUAUGAUUCUUUUCCCUUUAUAUCAAUUUUCAUAUCAUGACAAAGAUAAAGUAUCAUUCUUAAUUCAAUAUGGCAUAUCGAAAUAAGGUAUCAUUUCAAAAAAUGAUAAUUGUUGACUUUUACAUCAUUUCAUUAUAAAAUCAUAAGUAUUACAUGCAUCAUUCCAAAUCAUAAAUAUUUUAAAUCAUAAUGGUCUCAAAAUGUCAAACUACAUUACAUCCUAUCACGCAUGAUCAUAACUUAUCAUUUGUAUGCAUCAACAAUAAUAUAAGUAUUUUAUGUAUAAUUUCAUAUCAUCACAUGAAUAAUAUCAAGAAAAAUUAAUUGGGUGAUGAGAUAUACACUUCAUGAAUACAAAUUUUAAGUUAUGAAUAUCAAAAAAUUAAGAGAAAAAUUAUGAUUCUUUUUGGAUGACUCAAAUAACGAAAAAAAGAAUCAUAGUAAAUGAUCUUGAUUCAUAAAAAAAAUCUCAUGUUAUAAUUCUAAGAAUUCACAAGAAAAAUCAUGAUUUAUUUAAAUAAUUAUUCUUUUAUUAAUUAGCAAAAAAAAAAUAUGGGAGUUCAAAAAUAAGAUCUUGAUUCAUAGAAAAAUCUUAUGUAUCAAAUAUCGAGAAAUCAAGAUCAUGAUUUGGAUAAAAAAUAAAUCUCAAUCCAAAAAAUUUUCUUGUAAGAAAUGUUAAGUCAUCGUCAUUAUCACUUUGGGUUUGAUACUAAAUCAAUAAAUUUUCAAAUCAUCAUUACUUGGGUAUGCAUGAUACCAAAAUAUGGUUUCAAGUCUUCAAGGUAUAACAUGCAUAAUUUCAAACCAUUAUUAAGGUUAUAGUUUGUUUGCAUAAGUCUCUUCUUUAGUAAACGAUAAGAAGGAAUCAUCAAAGAUAGAAAAUAUUUUGAUUCUUAUAAAUGAUAGCUCAAGUAGAGAAAUCAAAAGAAAGUCCAUGAUUUAGUUGGAAAAUUUUCAUUCAUAUUCAAUUUGUUAACUCCAAACUUAUCAUCAAAACCACUUUUCUUAAUUCAAGAGAUAACAUAAAAUAGAUUCAUCACUAAGCACCACUUGUUGAAAAAAUCGAAAAGCUUUAGAGAUAUUUUUAAGAAACAUGCAUUCUCUCCUUUUUGUUUCAAUUUAAGUAAUUUGAUUUCAUACAAACAUGCUUUAAUUUUUUUUGCCAAACAAAAAUAUGCAUUAUCGUUUAAAACCGAAAAAGUUACUUUCAUUACGACAAAGAUCAAUAAGUCAUAAAUCACAAAAAUCAUCAUACAUAAUUUCGAAAUAUAAGCUCAUUAAGCAUGAUUUCAAAUCAUCAUUACUUCAAAUCUUCAUUACAUUAUUAUAUCAUUAAAUCAUCAAGUAUGGUUUCAUUGAACAUAAAGCAUCUUCAAUCAAAAUAAAAAAGUAAUACAGAAAUCAUCAAGAUACACAUAAUUGUUUCUUAAAAAUAUAUAUAGGAUUAAUAUUACUAGGUGUACAAGCAUUAGAUUUAAAUAUAAUAUUUUAUUCCUUUAUCAUAAAGAAAUGCAACUAUCAUGAUCAAUUUUUUUAAUUUUUCAAAAACACUAGAAAGAAAAGCAUGAUCCCAUUUUAUUUUUUUAUAUUUUAUAUACUCAUUUAAAAAUAAUUUAUAAAAUACAUCAAGUAAUUUUAUAGUAAACUAAGGGGGUUUUGGUUACCUCGUCAUCGAAAGCCAUUAAGGCAUUGUUCGCCAUCUUGUCUUUAUUGGUUUGCUUCUCGUCUUCGAUGAGCUCGAUUCGUCCCAAGCCACCUUGAAUACUUUCUUCUUCUUUGGUAACUUCUUCUUUUUAAAUUUAUUUUUAUUCUUAGUCUUAUGUUUUAUAAAUUUUAUAAAUUUAUUUAUGAGGAGUUCUAUGUCAUCAUCAUUUAAACUUUCGCUCAAGUGGUCUUCUUUUGUUCUAAGUGCCAAGUCCUUCCUAUUCUUUGGAAGGUUGUCUCAAGUUUAUCAUGUUUAUCAUAUGUCUUGCACGUCAUUUCAUGUCAUUAAUGAACCAAUAAGUUCUUCUAGUGAAAAAUUAUUUAAGUUCUUUGCUUCUUGUAUUGCAGUUACUUUUGGAUCUAACUCAUUAGAAGGGAUCUUAAUAUCUUGUUAACAAGUUCAAAAUUCGAAAAACAUUUGUUAAGAGCUUUCAAACUAUUGAUGAUAUCCGUAAAAUAGGUAUACAUGUCAACAAUAGUUUCACUGGACUUCAUUUGAAACAAUUCAAAAUUAUGUAUUUUAGACUCUUUAACUCAAUUUGUGCCUUCGUGUGUGAUUUCAAGAGUGUGUCAAAUCUCAUAAGCUAUUUCGUAAAUAUAAACUCAAUUGAAUUCAUUUUUAUCCAAAGCACAAAACAAAACAUUCAUAGCUUUGACAUUCAAAGAGAAAGUCUUCUUCUCUAAAUCAUUCCAAUCGUUCAUUAGAAAAAAAGACUUUUAAAAUUUAUUUUCAAUGAUGUUCCAUAAAUCGAAAUUCAUGGAAAACAGGAAAACUCUCAUUCGAGUUUUCUAAUAUAUGUAGUCCAUCCCGUUGAACAUAGGAGGACGAAUGAUAGAGUGACUCUCUUGAAAUCCGAAAAGAGUCAUUUCUCUUGGAUAUUAAACCAAAUUAGAAAAACAUGGCUCGGAUACCAACUGUUAGGAUCAAAUCAGCACUAAGAGGUGUUAGGAAAGGGGUCGGCACUAAGAAGGGGGGUGAAUUAGUGCAGCGGUAAAAUCACGUCUUCAAAAAUGUUUCAUUUCGAUAAAACAAGUUUCGUAAAGAUGUUAACUUGAAAUUGUAUGAAAACAUAGUGAAUGAGGAAUUCAGUUUGCAAUAAGGUAAAUAGCAAGAAGUAAAUGCAAACCAUAUUUUAGAGUGGUUCGGUCAUCGUGACUUAUAUCCACUUCACCGAUUCCUUUUCCGUCGAGGCCACCGGCAUCCACUAUCGAUCUUCCUUUAAUAGGCGAAGAUCAACCUCCUUCUUACACUCCUCUUCUCCUUUUCACAGGUUUAGAAGUAAACCUUUACAAACACACACUCCUCCUAAACAGAAUUCUAAACUUAGACUAUAGGAGAGGAUUUCUCUUGUAAUUGCAAUAGCGUUUUCUCACUUUUAAAUACUCUAUGCUUAUGUGUGUUAACUAGGGAUAAGAGGGGUAUUUAUAUGCUUCAAGUUGAUUCAAACUUGGAGCAUAAAAAUAUCUCAUCCUGGGUUUUCUAGGUUCGGGCGGUAUCACCGCUUGUGUUGGGCGGUACCACUGCUAGUGUCAAUCUGACACUGACACUACACUAGGCGGUACCAUUGCCCAGUCUAAUGGUACCACCGCCUAUAGCCUCUCGGAGGCUGUGUUUGGGUAGUACCACUACCUAGACGGACGGUACCACCGCCUGACAUAGUCUUGGAGACUGUGUCACAACGGUGUCACCUCUUGGGGCACUGUUUGGACCUUUUUAUUAGGCCCAACACAGUUCUUACAUAGGCCCAACUAGCCCAUAAUUGGGUUGGCCCAAUUCCAAACCUAAUUACGUACUAAUUACGAAAUCUAAGACAUACUUAAGCUAAACAAGUCUGUAAGUCUUGGUUUCUUCCGGCGAACUUCCGACGAUCUUUCGGUAAUAUUCCAGUGGACUCCCGGCAAGCUCCUGGACUUCACGACAAUCUUCUUAGUGAGUUUCAAUGAGCUUCUCUAACAAGCUCCGAGACUUCUCGGCUAGUUCCGACAGAACUUUCGAUGAACGUCUGGACUUACGAUGAACUCUCGAACCCCCAACAAAAUCGCAUCAUUGACUCCGAGACUCCAUUUUGCUUCAUGCCUUGCUAUUGUAGUUAAUCCUGCACAUGUAAAAACAUACUUUGAUCUAGACAAUUAAUACUAAGCAUUAAUCAUGUUGUCUGGCAUGUCAUUGGUCUAUCGACGCUUCGUCCGAUUCUUUGGCGCAUUAUCCUCUCUUGCGGCCUAUUGCCCAAUCGGCCAAUUGACUCCGUAACUCCGAUAUCCUUAGCACAAUAUCUGCUUUUCUUGGCCCGAUGCCCGAAUCCAUGGCCCGAAGCCUUCUGUCAAGACGUCAACCGAUCCUCUAGCCCGAUGUCCAAUCUUCUGACAUGUUUUCCUCGGGCCCAACAUAAUUUUUCCUGCUUUAAUUGUCUCAUCCUGAUCGAAGCAUCCUACAUCACUCAAAAUGCAGAUCAAUUCAUAAAUACUAUCAAUUGGUUUCAUCAUCAAAAUAUGAGAUUCAACAAUACUCGGAUACCAAAGGAGGUUAAUAUUCGCCUAUUAAAGGAAGAUCAAUAGUGGAUGCCAGUGGCCUCAAUGGAAGAGGAAUUAGCGAAAUAGAUGUAGGUCACGACGACCGAACUACUCUAAAAUCUGGUUUGCAUUUACUUCUUGCAAUUUACCUUAUUGCAAACUGAAAUUCUACUUCACUACAUUUCCGUACAAUUUUAAAUUAACAUCUUUACGAAACCGAUUUUAUCGAAACGAAACAUUUUUGAAGACAUGAUUUUAUUGCUGCACUAAUUCACCCCCCUAUUAAUGCCAACCUCUUUCCUAACAAUUGGUAUCAGAGCCUCAUUUUCUCAUUUGGUUUAACACCUAACGAGAAAUGACUCUUUUCGACUUUCAAGAGGGCCACUCUCUCAUUCGUCCUCCCUUUUUCAAUGGGACGGACUACACUUAUUGGAAAACUCGAAUGUGAGUUUUCUUACUUUUUUUGGAUUUAAAUUUAUCGAGUAUUAUGGAAAACUGUAUUUGAAUGUGUUCUCUUCCAAUGAACCAUUGGAAUGGUUUGGAGAAGAAUACAUUUUCUUUAAAUGCUAGAGCUAUGAAUGCUCUAUUUUACAUCUUAGAUAAAAAUAAAUUUAAUCGGGGUUCUAUGUGCGAAACAACUUUCGAUAUUUGGCACACUCUUAGAAAUCACACACGAAGGCACUAACAAAGUUAAAGAUUCGAAAAUCAACUUUUUAAUGUAUAAUUUUAAACUUUUUUGAAUGAAGCCAAGUGAAAUCGUUGUUAACAUGUACACCCGUUUUAUGGAUGUCAUCAAUAGUUUAAAAGCACUUUGUAGAAGUUUUUCAGAUUUUGAACUUAUAAAUAAAAUUUUAUGUUCUCUUAAUAAGAGUUGGGAUUCAAAAGUAACGGUUAUUAAAGAAUCAAAAAAUUCGAAUACUUUUUUGAUCAAAGAACUUAUCGGGUCUCUAAUGACCUAUGAAAUGACGUACAAUGCACGUGAAGAACUGGAGAACCACCUUCCAAAGGACAGGAAGGAUUUCGGACUAAGAACAAUCGAAGACCACUCGAGCAUAAGCUCAAGUGAUGGUGAACUUAAACUUGUCACUAAGAAAUUUAAAAAGUUCAUGAAACAAAAAUUAAAGAACAAAAAGAACAUAAAUUGGGAUGAAUCAAGCUCCUCCGAAGACGAGGAGAAAAUCAACAAAGGCAAGGUAGCAAAUUAUGCCUUAACAACUUUCGAUGGUGAGGUAAUCAAAAUGCCUUUAAUUUAUUUCGAAAUUACAUAAUACUUUCUUAAGUUAUUCUUAAUUUAGUUUUAAUUUUUUUAAAAAAUAUUGUAUGUUUAAUAAUGUAAUGAAAAUAUAAAAAAAUGGGAUCAUGCUUACCUUUCUAGUGAUCAUGAAAAUUACAAGUUUUGUGAUAAACAAACAAAAUGAUUUUGAAUAAAAAUACCUUAUAAAACCAUGCUAUAUGUGUUUAAGAAGUAAUAAUGUGUAUCUUGAUGAUUUUUGUAUUCCUUGUGAUUAUAAAUGGUUCUUUUUUAAUGAAAUCGUGCUUGAUAAUUUAAUGCAUAAUGAUCAUGCUUAAUGAGUUUAUUUUUCAAAAUUAUACAUGAUGAUUCUUGAGAUUUAUGGAUUAUCAACUUUCAUGGCUUUAAAAGUUUUUUUUGGUGUUAAUGUAUUAUGCAUGUUUUCAUUUGGCAUAAAUGAAAAAGGCAUACUUCUAUGAAAUCAAUCUUAUGAAUUGAAACACUAGAAAAUGAUUUUGAUUUGAUGAUUUCAAUUUGAAUGAGAUUUCUCUUGAUUUUUCAAGAUUUAAAACUUGAGAUUUAAUAUAUAUGAAAUAUGGGAUGCAAUGUAAUUUGACAUUUAGAUACCAUCAUGAUUUAAAAUGCUAUGAUUUGUUGCUAAAAUGAUGUAAUGUAAAUAUUGAUUUAAUGUUUGGUAUCAUAAAUACUUUAAAAUGAUGAAUGUUUGGUAUCAUGAUCAAAAUAAUGAUAAAUACUUAAAAAAUUUAAUAUCUUAGUAUCAUGUAUGAUAUGCUCAAAAUAAUAAUGAAUAUUUUGAAAAUAAAUAUUUGUAUCAUGUUUGAUAAUUUUAUAUUUUAAUAAUAUGCAUGAUGAGUUGUAGUGAUGAUUGAUUUAUUUUUGGUAUCAUGAAAAAUGAAAUGUAAGAUUUUAAAAUUAUGUAUAUUUCAAGUUGAAACCAUAAUGAUGCACAAACAUAUUGAAAUAAGGUUGAUACUUUAUCUUUGUCAUGCUUUGAAAAUUAUUAUAAAGGGAAAAAGAGAUACAAAAUUGUAUUCUUCCCUUCUUUUUGACAAUGACAAAGGGCGAGAUAACUAGCUUGCUAGCUAGCUUACACAAGUUAAGAAAAAACAAGAAAUGCUAUCUUACAACCUCAAGAGAAGCAAAAGUGCUAUCUUGCCUAUCUUAAGAAGCAAAAACGCAAACUUACAAAAUUUACAAUCUUGCACAUCUUCAAAAUUAGAUGAUGAUAUUGGUGAUUAUGCAUGUUAUAAGGAGAUGAACAAAUAUGCUAGUUGUAUGUUAUAAAACUUACAUAUCUUAAAAAUUGCUAGCUUGUAAUAUAAAAAAAAGCAAAAAGCUUCUAUCUCAAGAAAAACAAACAUGCUAAACUUGCACAUCUUUAAUUAUUGCUAGCUUACAUAAUGAUAAAACUGGAAAUUAUGUUAAUUAUGCAAUGAUUUAAACUUCUAUGUCCAAACGCUUGAUAGUUGGAACUUCUCCCUUUUGUUGAUGACAAAGGGGGAGAAGUAUGAUCAUGUUAUGCAUGAUAACGUGUUGCAAAUAUUCAUGAUAAAAUUUGCAAUAACUUGAAUUUAGCUUGAAUUCAAGGUUCUAUCAAUAUGACAUAUUGAUAGGGGGAGUUAAGGUUAACUCCGUCAUCAAUUAGUUGUCAUCAUAAAAAAGGGGGAGAUUGUUGAAUCUCGUAUUUUGAUGAUGAAACCAAUUGAUAGUAUUUAUGAAUUGAUCUAUGUUUUGAGUGACAUAGGAUGCUUUGAUCAAGAUGAGACAAUCAAAGCAGGAAAAAUCAUGUUGGGCCGGAGGAAAACAUGUCAGAAGAUUGGACGUCGGGCCGGAGGAUCAGUCGACGUAUCGACAGAAGGCUUCGGGCCAUGGAUUCAGGCAUCGGGCCAAGAAGAGCGGAUAUUGCGCUAAGGAUAUCGGAGUUGUGGAGUCAACUGGUCGAUUGGGCAAUAGGCCGCAAGAGAGGUCGAUGUGCCGAAGAAUAGGAUGAAGCGUCGAUGGACCAAUGACAUGUCAAACAACAUGAUUAAUGCUUAGUAUUAAUUAUCUAGAUCGAAGUGUAUUUUUACAUGUGUAGGAUUAACUACGAUAGCAAGGCAUGAAGCAAAAUGAAGUUCCGGAGUCAAGGAUGUGAUUUCGUUGGGAAUUCGAGAGUUCGUCAGAAGUUCGGAUGUUUAUCGGAAGUUCUAUCGGACACAGCCAAGAAGUCUCGGAGCAUACCAGAAAAUUUCAUCGGAACUCGCUAAGAAGAUCGUCGUGAAGUCCAGGAGCUUGCCGGGAGUCCGCUGGAAUAUUGUCGAGAGAUCGUCGGAAGUUCACCGGAAGAUCGCCGGAGGCUUGCUGGAAGAAACCAAGACUUACGGACUUGUUUAGCUUAAGUAUGUCUUAGAUUCAUAGUUAGCACGUAAUUAGAUUUGAAAUUGGGCCAACCCAAUUAUGGGCCAGUUGGGCCCAUGUAAGAACUAUGUUGAGACCAAUGGAAAGGCUCAAACAGUGCCCCAAGAGGUGAUACCAUCGUGGCAUAGUCUUCGAGAUUGUGUCAAGUGGUGGUACCGCCCAGAUAGCCUCUGAGAGACUGCAGGCAAUGGUACCAUCAGUCUGGGCGGUGGUACCACCCAAUGUCAGGCGGUGGUACCACCAGACUGGGACGUGGUACCGCCAAGUGUAGUGUCAGUGUCAGACUAACACUGACGGUGGUAUUGCCCGGACCUAGGAAACCCAGGAUAAGUUAUUUUUAGCCUCCAAGUUUGAAUCAACUUGAAGCUUAUAAAUACCCCUCUCAUCCCUGGUUAACACACAUAAGCACAGAGUAUUUAAAAGUGGGAAAAAGAUGUUGCAAUCACUAGAGAAAUCCUCUCCUAUAGUCUAAGUUUAGAAUUCUGUUUAGGAGUAGAGUGUGCUUGUAAAGAUUAACUCCUAAACCUAUAAAAAGGAGAAGAGGGGUGUAAGAAGGAGGUUGAUCUUCACCUAUUAAAGGAAGAUCGAUAGUGGAUGCCGGUGGCCUCGACGGAAGAUGAAUCGACGAAAUGGAUAUAGGUCACGACGACCGAACCACUCUAAAAUCUGGUUUGCAUUUACUUCUUGCUAUUUACCUUAUUAUAAACUGAAUUCCUCCAUCACUACAUUUCAAGUUAAUAUCUUUACGAAAUCGGUUUUAUCGAAACAAAAUAUUUUUAAAGAUGUGAUUUUACCACUGCAUUAAUUCACCCUCCCUCUUAGUGCCGCUCUUGAUCCUAACAAGAGGAUAGGGGGAAUUAGUGCGUACGUAAAAAUCACGUUGAGUCAGAAAUUUUCAUUUCGAUAAAAACCGAUAUUGAAAAUGCUUAACUUAAAAAUAUUCAUAAGAGUGUGCAGCUAAAGUAAUGAGGAAGUAAAGUAGUUGCAAAUUAAGUAAAUGCAAACCGAGUUUAUAGUGGUUCGAUUGUCGUGACCUACGUCCACUCCUGAUUCCUCUUCCAUCAAAGCUAUCGACAUCCACUAACGAUUUUCCUUUAAUGGGCGAAGACCAACUACCCUUACAACUCUAUUCUCCUUUUGAGAGGCUCGGGAGAGAACCAUUACACCUCUACUCACCCCUCUCCAAACAGAAAUCACACUUAGACUAGAGGAGGAGAACUCUCACGAGAUUACAACAGAAUUUUCCCUUAUUUUUGUUCUUAGUUCUUGUGUGUUUUGAGCAGGGAUGAGAGAGAUAUUUAUAGGCCUCAAAUAGAUUCAAUCUUGAAGCCUAAAAAUGUCUCAUCCCCGAUUUUUCGGGUACUAGCGAUACCACCACCUUUGCUGGGCGGUACCACCACCCAAUCUAGCAGUACCAUCGCUUGGACCCAACUUUUAGGUCACUGAAUGAGUCUUUCUCUUGGCUCAAAAAAGUCCUAAUUUGGGCUCAGUUAGCUCCUAAUUGAGUUGAAUUAAUUACAUUCUAAACCAACCUAAUUAUGACAUAAACUAACUCGAUCUAGACAAAUUAUUACAAAGCACGAAUCUUCUAUUGUCCGGCAUGUCAUUGGUUCUUCUGGUACUUCGUCCCAUCCUUCGACGUAUUGCUCAAUCAACAUGUUGUCUUCUCGCAACAUCCAAUCUCCUUGAUGCAAUGUCCGAUCUUCUUGGCCCGAUGCCCGAAUUCAUGGACCAAAGCCUUCUAUCAACACGUCGAUCGAUCCUAUGGCCCGACGUCCAAUCUCCUAACAUGUUCAACUCCGACCCAACAUCUGAUUCCUCAUACUUUAAUUAAUUUGCCUCUCCUGAUCGAAGUUAGUCUUGCGUCACUCAAAACAUAGAUUAGAUCAUAAUAUUAUCAAUUGAUUUCAUCAUCAAAAUUCGAGAUUCAAUAUCCAAGACCUCAAGCUUGUCAUGAUCUAUAAUAUUUGACAAACACACUAAUUCACGUCCCUCCCCCCUGCUUAUAUGAUUGGAAAUUCACACAAAUAUAAACUCAAUUGAUUUCAUUUUUAUCCAAAGAACAAAACAAAACAUUCAUAGCUUUGGCAUUCAAAGAGAAAGUCUUUUUCUUCAAAUCAUUCCAAUCGUUCAAUGAUGUUCCAUAAAUCGAAAUUCAUGGAAAGCAAGAAAAUUCUCAUUCGAGUUUUCUAAUAUAUGUAGUCUAUCCCAUUAAACAUAGGAGGACGAAUGAUAGAGUGACUCUCUUGAAAUCUGAAAAGAGCCAUUUCUCUUCGGUGUUAAACCAAAUGAGAAAAACAUGACUCUAAUACCAACUGUUAGGAUCAAAUCGGCACUAAGAGGAGGGGGUGAAUUAGUAUGUAUGUAAAAAUCACAUUGAGUCAGAAAUCUUCAUUUCGAUAAAAAUUGAUAUUGGAAAUGCUUAACUUAAAAAAUAUUCAUAAGAGUGUGCGGCUAAAGUAAUGAGGAAGUAAAGUAGUUGCAAAGUAAGUAAAUGCAAACUGAGUUUAUAGUGGUUCGAUUGUCGUGACCUACGUCCACUCUCGAUUCCUCUUCCGUCAAGGCCACUGACAUCCACUAAUGGUCUCCCUUCAAUGGGCGAAGGCCAACUACCCUUACAACUCUAUUCUUCUUUUGAUAGGCUCAGGAGAGAACCUUUACACCCCUACUCACUCCUCUCUAAACAGAAAUCACACUUAGACUAGAGGAGAAGAACUCUCACGAGAUUACAAUAGAAUUUUCUCUUGUUUUUGUUCUUAGUUCUGGUGUGUUUUGAGUAGGGAUGAGAGAGGUAUUUGUAGGCCCCAAAUAGAUUCAAACUUAGAGCCUAAAAAUGUCUUAUCCCCGAUUUUCAAGGUACUAGCGAUACCACCACCUGUGUUGGGCGGUACCAUCGCCCGGUCUAGCGGUACCAUCGCUUGGACCCAACUUUUAGGUCACUGAAUGGUCCUUGCUCUUUGCCCAAAAAAGCCCUAAUUUGGGCCUAGUUAGCUCUUAAUUGAGUUGGCUUAAUUAUAUUCUAAACGAACCUAAUUACGACAUAAAAUAACUCGAUCUUAACAAAUUAUUACAAAGCACGAAUCUUCUAUUGUCCGACAUGUCAUUAGUUCUUCUAGUGCUUUGUCUGAUCCUUUAGCGUAUUGCCCAAUCAACAUGUUGUCUUCUCGCAACAUCUAAUCUCCUUGGCGCAAUGUCCAAUCUUCUUGGCCCGAUGCCCGAAUUCACGGACCGAAGCCUUCUACCGACACAUCGAUCGAUCCUAUAGCCCGAUGUCCAAUCUCUUAAUAUGUUCAACUCCAACCCAACAUCCAAUUCCUCAUGCUUUAAUUAAUUUACCUCUCCUGAUUGAAGCUAGUCCUACGUCACUCAAAACGUAGAUUAGAUCGUAAUAUUAUCAAUUAGUUUCAUCAUCAAAAUCUGAGAUUCAACAUCCAAGACCUCAAGCUUGUCAUGAUCUAUAAUUAUUGGUGAACAAAUAUGCCAUAGUUGAUGAUUAGCACGGCCUGGUCCACGGGUCAAUGUCAGGAGUCUUCUGUCGACUAAGCUGGAUGUUGAGGUCGACUGAGCCCUCACGAUGGGGUGCUGAUCAGUGUUCCUUAGUGUGUUGAUCCAGGCGCUAUGUAUGUCGUGCUGCGUCUCUCCUUCUCCGGGGUGGUUAGCAGCUCGUCUUCGUCAGAUGGUCAUGUUUUCUUGCAAAAAUGGCCCUCGUCGGGAUCACUCGACGAGGUCCCUCCGACGAGCAAGUCAGUGGAAUGAUCAAAUGACUCCCCCCCCCCCCCCCCCCGCUUUUUUCCUGGAUCAAGUCGGGGGUAUUUAUACCUGCGUGCGGGAAUUGGUCGGGCCCUGGUCUGGCAUGGCCGUUGACUCUAGGGGCGGAACAACCUCUCUAAUAAGAUGGCGUCUUCGGGGGUGCUUGAGUGGCAUCAGACGACACUACCCUAAUAGCAGAUGGCAUCGCCCCCAGCUCUUGGGGUGGUCAGGCCGCACAAUCGCACAGUUGGAGCUUGAUGUGGCGUGCACCCCACGCUUCUAGAGGCGUAUGGUGUCGCGUCGGUCUGCAGCGUCUGUCGGGGGUUCACAUAGGACCAAAAUACGCCCUAUCAAUAAUAUUUGACGAACACACUAAUUCACGUCCCCUCUAGAAAUGCUCAUAUGAUUGGAAAUUCAUGUAAAUAUAAAUUCAAUUGAAUUCAUUUUUAUCCAAAGCACAAAACAAAACAUUCAUAGCUUUGGCAUUCAAAGAGAAAGUAUUCUUCUCCAAAUCAUUCUAAUUGUUCAUUGGAAGAAAAGACUUUUGAAAUAUGUUUUUAAUGAUGUUCCAUAAAUCAAAAUUCAUGGAAAGCAAGAAAACUCUCAUUCGAGUUUUCUAAUAUAUGUAGUCCGUCUCAUUGAACAUAGGAGAACGAAUGAUAGAGUAACUCUCUUGAAAUAUGAAAAGAGCCAUUUCUCUUUGGUGUUAAACCAAAUGAGAAAAAUAUAGCUCUAAUACCAACUGUUAGGAUCAAAUUGGCACUAAGAGGAGGGGGUGAAUUAGUACGUACGUAAAAAUCACGUUGAGUCAGAAAUCUUCGUUUUGAUAAAAAUCGAUAUUUGAAAUGCUUAACUUAAAAAAUAUUCAUAAGAGUGUAUAGCUAAAGUAACGAGAAAGUAAAGUAGUUGCAAAGUAAGUAAAUGCAAACAGAGUUUAUAGUGGUUCGAUUAUCGUGACCUAUGUCCACUCCCGAUUCCUCUUCCGUCGAGGCCACCAAUAUUCACUAACGGUUUUCCUUCAAUGGACGAAAACCAACUACCCUUACAACUCUAUUCUUCUUUUGAUAGGCUCAGGAGAGAACCUUUACACCGCUACUCACUCCUCUCUAAACAGAAAUCACACUUAGACUAGAGGAGGAGAACUCUCGUGAGAUUACAACAGAAUUUUUCCUUAUUUUUGUUCUUAGUUCUUGUGUGUUUUGAGCAGGGAUGAGAGAGGUAUUUAUAGGCCCCAAAUAGAUUCAAAUUUGGAGCCUAAAAAUAUCUCAUCCUCGAUUUUUGGGAUAUUAGCGAUACCACCACUUGUGCUAGGCGGUAUCAUCGCCUAGUCUAACGAUACCAUCAUGUGGACCCAACUUUUAGAUCAUUGAAUGAGCCUUUUUCUUGGCACAAAAAAGCUCUAAUUUGGGCUUAGUUAGCUCCUAAUUGAGUUGGCUUAAUUACAUUCUAAACCAACCUAAUUACGACAUAAACUAACUCAAUCUAGACAAAUUAUUACAAAUGACGAAUCAUCUAUUGUCCGACAUGUCAUUGGUUCUUCCAGCACUUCGUCCGAUCAUUCGGCGUAUCGCCCAAUCAGCAUGUUGUCUUCUCGCAACAUCCAAUUUCCAUGGCGUAAUGUCUGACCUUCUUGGCUCAAUGCUUGAAUUCAUGGACCGAAGCCUUCUACCGACACGCUGAUCGAUCCUACGGCCCGAUAUCCAAUCUCCUAAUAUGUUUAACUCCAGCCCAACAUCCAAUUCCUCAUGCUUUAAUUAAUUUGCCUCUCCUGAUCGAAGCUAGUCCUGCGCCACUCAAAACGUAGAUUAGAUCAUAAUAUUAUCAAUUGGUUUCAUCAUCAAAAUCCGAUAUAUGUAUGUAUAUAUAUAUGUAUAUAUAUAUAUAUAUAUAUAUAUAUAUAUGUAUAUAUAUAAAUAUAUAUAUGUAUAUAUAUAUAUAAAUAUAAAUAUGUAUGUAUAUAUAUAUAUAUAUAUAUAUACAUAUAUACAUAUAUAUAUAUACAUAUAUACAUAUAUAUAUAUAUAUAUACAUAUAUAUACAUAUAUAUACAUAUAUAUACAUGUAUAUACAUAUAUAUGUAUAUAUAUACAUAUAUAUGUAUAUAUNNNNNNNNNNNNNNNNNNNNNNNNNNNNNNNNNNNNNNNNNNNNNNNNNNNNNNNNNNNNNNNNNNNNNNNNNNNNNNNNNNNNNNNNNNNNNNNNNNNNNNNNNNNNNNNNNNNNNNNNNNNNNNNNNNNNNNNNNNNNNNNNNNNNNNNNNNNNNNNNNNNNNNNNNNNNNNNNNNNNNNNNNNNNNNNNNNNNNNNNNNNNNNNNNNNNNNNNNNNNNNNNNNNNNNNNNNNNNNNNNNNNNNNNNNNNNNNNNNNNNNNNNNNNNNNNNNNNNNNNNNNNNNNNNNNNNNNNNNNNNNNNNNNNNNNNNNNNNNNNNNNNNNNNNNNNNNNNNNNNNNNNNNNNNNGUAUAUAUAUAUGUAUAUAUGUAUAUAUAUACAUAUAUACAUAUAUAUAUACAUAUAUAUAUAUAUAUAUACAUACAUAUAUAUAUAUAUAUAUACAUAUAUAUAUAUAUAUAUAUAUGUAUACAUAUAUAUAUAUUCUUUUGGGGGAACUCCUAUUAAAACACCUUCCUUCAUAUUUUCUAUAUAAUUAUAUCAUCAACACUUAUUCAAUUUGUCAUUCCAUUAAAGACUCCAUUAAGUAUAUUUUUUUUUGAAGUUAUUUUUAUUAAUAUUUUCUUAUUCAUAAUCCAAUCCAAAACUUCUCAUAAAAAAUUCGAACAUUUUGACAAUUGGCUCCAACGUAGUUCAAUCCAAAAUUUCUAUUACUUUUCGACAUUUUGACAAUCGACUCCAAAUGUUCGUGGCUCAACGAAGAGGAAGAUCUUGAUCCCCCCUCAGCUUCUUUCAUUCAUUCGUCGUCGGCAAAUUAUCUUUGGCUCUCGUGGAAGUCCCGUAAUGAUUACAAACAUCCAUAAUCAAUCGCAGCUUUGCAUCCAACUCAAAAUCCGAGGGCAACGGUAAGAUCUCUCUGCAAACCCAACACAACAUUCCUACACUCUCUUUUUAUGAUUGUUAUAUUUGAUCAAGAUAACAUGUCUCUCACCCGUUACUGUUCCUUCAAUACAACUUCUCCCACAAAGGCGAAGGCGAAAACAUGAGCGGUCCUCCAAUGCCUUUAAAAACAAUCUCUCACAUCUAUUCAAGUCAGUUCUGACCGAGCAACUUAAGCAAAUCUCAGUCACUUAUAAACCUAACUCGAGAUAUUAUCUAGAAAGUAGUAGACUAAAACAUCAUCAAAACUAUUUUGCACAUAUUUUAACAAAUUUUACAAGACAACUAAUCUUUUUUUUUUUUCUUUGUAUGAACUUCUUAUAGCCUAAUUUAUUACUUUAUUUAAAAAAAAUACAUAUUCAUUUAUAUUUUGCAAAAGGAAACUCAAUUUAAUAGCAGAUUUCAUUCUACGCAUAAAAACACCAAAGAUAUCAUCCUCAAAAGGACUACUACAAAAAUAAUCAAUGAGAAAGCCCAUGCAGUGGAGGAAAGCAAAUCGUUGCUCUGAGCUGUGAUCUCUGUUAUCAUGAGAAUAAUAGACGUCAAUCCUAAAGCAAAAUGAUGAACAACUUUCUACCGCAGGCAGUAACAUUUAUUGAGCUAAAUAACUGAUGAGUGUAAACAGCCACCUUUUUGUUAAUCUGCCUCUUGGUUGUCAAGAUAAAAGAUUCAUACACCUGAAUUAAACCUAGCUGGCUUAAUGCCACCUCAGCUUUCCUCCUAAGGAUCUGUGGCAGUGCUAGCGGUGUUAUGUUGGUGUUCGUAAUCCUCAGCUUCAUCUUUCAUACUUCUCCCAAAGAUAAAAGGCUUCGUUCCCAUGGUAGCGAACGGCAUUAGUCCAAAAGCCCGUGCAGUUUUAAUCUCCCUCGCAACUUUCCUCUGAGCUUUGGCACUGAUACGAGUCUGCAGAGAAACCAUGACGGUAAGUGAUCGAAAGAACGGCCAUAUCAUUUCUCUGAAAUUCUCGAUGGCAAAUUAUAUGAGUGGGAUUCAAUCUUGACCUUGCUUCUUUUAAUUAUAAUUCCUGCUUCAGUCAGAAAAUUUGAGAGGAACCUCACAUUCUGCAUUGGAUCAUCCCAGAUGUCAGAACAACAUAAGAAAACACCAAUUUAAUUAAUUUCUAGAAGAAAAAGAAUUAAGAGAAACCCAAGACAUUCAAAAACAAAGACAGACAGAUUAGUGAUGAGAUCGGCUGCACAGUGCUACAAACCCAAACCAGAAAGAAAUUUCUCUCCAAAAACUUUCAUAAACUAGGACAGAAUUUCCAAUGCAAACAUAUCCAACCUCUUCCAAAUAGAAGAGCACUUUACUGUUUGUGAUAAAUCAACCAGAAAAAAAGAUGUCAGAUACCUCAGAGUAGAUAGAUCACACAUAGGGACCACAUUUCCAAGAAUGCUUCAUUAUCACUGUUAUAAUAUGCUGAAAUUACAGAUAUCUAAUGGCGGCAGAAAUGCUAAAUAUCUAUUGGAGGCUCCUAUAUUAAUAGAACAACUUGAACUAAUCAGAGUUUAAGAAUAUCAAUACAAACAUAUCAGUGUAGCUUUGGUUAAGGGCUCUAGAACUCUGGGUAUGAAGUCAUUUAUUUUACUAAAAUAGUGCACAGUGAAGUACCUACAUCAAUUCAAAAUCUUAACUGUUCAAUUUGCUCCAUGGAAACAUAUAUAGCCUCAAAAUAGGAAGAGUCUGUUAGAGACAAAGUCAAUAGAAAAUUUAUUGGGUAUAAAGAUAUGCGCAUAUGCACCAAUACAUUAUUUAGAACUUAAAAUGUAUUAUAAUGAUAGUGAAAGCAGGUCAAUCAUAUUGUCAGGUUCUGACUCAAUGAAGUUGCAAACUACAAUGUGAUAUUAAUGCAAAUUUUUAAGUAUAUAAAGAAGCCAAAAAGUAUUAUGAGCCUACCCUGAAAUCAGCUUUCUUCAGAACCUCUUGUGUGGUUGUCUCAAACUCAUUUCUUUUGAAUCUCUUUUGAACCCCGGGUUUUGUAAGAUCAAGAUCCUAAAUGCAGCCACAGGAAAAAAGUGAGGAUGAAAGCAUACAAGUAAUAAUAACAGUUAAAAAAAAAUACUAUAUGACUUUAAUAAUAUAUCUAGGGUACUAAAUAACAUAUGAACUAUAUGAUUAGCAUUCAUUUAGAUAUUUGUUGUCUUGCUACAAAAACAAAAAUAGUCAUACAUAAGAUAGCAACCAUAGAACUAAAAAUAAAAAACUUACUGCCAAGGAAAAAGGCAAAAAAGCUAGCAAUUAGAAUGCCUCUUACCCUUGUUGUGUAAGUCAUACCAGGAUAAAAUGUCACAUCUGGUCUAAAUUUAUAAUUUUCAUCGUGUAUCUCAUCACUAAAAACAAACGUACGUGCUGCUUCCUUCAACUUUUCAUCCAUACCAUCUGACAAUGAAUUAAAACUAUCACUUAUACCAUCUAUGAUUCGAGAAUCAUCACUGUUCAAUUUGGAGCCAAUGCCAGAUCUUCCAUGAGCCUUCUCAAGUUUGUCAAGUUUGCGAUAAAAUGAAUCAUUUAUUUCAUUAUUGCUUAUAUCACCAAAUAAGCGUCGUUCAAAGUCAUCUGAGCUCUCAAACGAAUUAUCACUGUUUCGGCCAGAAUUACCAUUAUCUGUUUGGACCAGAGAAAGAACAACAGUGUAAACGUUAACACAGAAAUAAGACACUGAUAGAAAAAAAGAUCAAACAAAAUUUUAAAUUAAAUUGACUGCUAAAAUGUUGUCAAAUGUACACAAAGCAUGUUAGUGUCUCUUUUGAUAAAACACCUAGGACCUAGAAGCGGCUAAAUUUUGUGAAUAAGAAAUGUUUUCCAUUCACAAACAAGUAGGUGCAGCUCUGGAAAAAGAUAAAAUGAGGAAAGACAACAAAGCAUGACAUGUUUGAACAAGACAUCUAAAUAUCCUCGUUAGAUGAAGCAAAUUGGAUAGGAUUAGUGGUGUGAGAAAAUACAGAAGGAGAAAUAAGAAUAUAUUAUUAAAACAAUAAAAAGAAAGUUCACUACUUUUAGUUUAAGUAGGAUGUUUUCCUACCAGAACCCAAGAGAGAAAAAAGAUCCACAUAGCCAACCCAAACAGUUGAGACAUUACAACUAAAAGUAAGUUAGGAAGUGAAAGAAGCACAUCUAAUAGGUGGCCAUAAAAAUUUCAAGAACACAGCCGGAAAGAGCAUUACAAAAUACAACAUUUUUCAGAAAUAAAGUAGGGAUGUAUUUUCAAACAGGUACUUGUAAUUGAUUCGUGCCUGCAAAAUAUAGAAUUACCAAACAAUGGAUCUCGCUGAGAGGUUGUUAUCUUUACAAUUCACAUGACAACAAAUUUACGGCCUUCUAAAAUGAGAAUUCAUCAGCCGUGUCCUAUCCUAAGCUGUUAUCAUUGCGGCAGUUGUCAGCCGAGAAUACAAAACUGCAGAGAAUGAAUGCACAAAAAAUUUAUCAAUACAAAUGCUGCCAUGACCUACUCAAGUAAGAGUUUUUGGUUGAAGGGGAAAGCUGAUCAUGAGCUCUAGCCACCAUAACAGUGAUGAAAGAUUAAGAUGAUAGUUUGCUAUUAUGUAACAUUUUUUAUAUUGACCAUGCAGCAAUGGAUAAAUGGGUGUAUCUUACAAACCAAAUUUUUAGAGAUCAAAAUCAUAUACGAUGUACAUACAAAAUGGAUUACUGAGUAGUGAGACUUUUGAUUGGACUUGCAUAAAUAAAUUAUUAUUCAUCGACUGUGAUAGCAGAAAAUUACCAGAAAUCAACAGAAGAUGCUAUGCAUGAUGCAGAUCUCCUAAUGGGGCAGGGUUCAAAUUUGCAGAUAACUAGACUUGUUGACUGAAGCUGUCAGCUCAACAAUAUGGACUAUGGAGCAGAGUCAGAAUGUUUAAAUUCUGAGAUUAUGAAUUAGACGUCUGCAUGAGUUUCUCAUCCCAUCUCUCAUUUAGUGUGACUCGAGAGGAAAGCAUGCAUGACUUCAACAUACUUGGGGAUGGCUCAUUGGCUGGCAUCCAAAUUAACCUUGAGUCCAUGACAAGAUCAACCAAAGGGGCUUAGCAACACUACCUACGAGAUAUUGGCUCGUCAACUCACUCAUCCACUAAUGUCCCUGAUAAAAAAGAAGACACUUGAUUUGCAUACCAUAUGUUCGACAUACUUCCCAAAGCAAUGACAGAUCAAUUCCAUCGCAUACAUAAAAAUUACAAUGGUUCAUAAGGAACUAUAAGCAAAUUUUACAUAAUUACUAUACAACAAACAUUGACAAACUCGCUCCAACAGAAUUGAGAUACAAAGGAAAGGAGGUGCAGAAGAAGUUUAUCUAAUUGAGGAGGAGAAAGAAAGUAAUCAGAUACCAGUGCGAAAGGAUUGGUGUCUGAAGAAGAGAGGCAGCACUUGUUUGGAGGAGAGAAGCCCACACAAGCUAGGCUGACGCAGAAGUUCUUUUUGCAAUGCUAUCCUUCUCAUCAUUUGCUUCACGAACGAUGCUAUCACACUAAGGAGCAAGUUACAGAUUGAAUACCACAGUGGAGAUAAUAAUCUUAAAAGGCAUAAAAACAAACACCCAAUGUGCAAGAAUCAUUACCAAAGAGAAACUUGAGGAUAACGAAAAUUUUACAGGCAAAAAUACAAACAUCAUUAUUACGAACACACACACGUCUGUUACUUGACAUAGAUUUGCCCCAAAACAAACACAAAAAGCCAGAAAAACAAGACAAGACAAAAGCUCACGACUUACCAAGAAGUUCGAAAGGGUAAAGAAUGAAGAGGAUCGAAGACCAGAGAGAGAAAUAGAGAGGUACAAGGGGAAAGACGAGUUUGAGGAGCACCCGAAAAGCAGGCAGAGGAGGCUCUGGGAGGACGGAGGAUACCGCGGCUAGAUCGAGGAGGAGGAGGAGGAGGCUCCGGGAGGAUGGAGGAUACGGCGGCGGCAGCGAUGGCGGCGAGAUCAAGGAGGAGGCCUGGGGGCAGGCAGCGCACUGGAGCCGGGGGAAGAAGGGUGCGUCGAGCAGCUUCGGCGGCGCGCGAGUCGUUGGUGUAUCAUCCACGACCUAAAUGAAACUCGAGUGCAACCCGGCACCGACCGUGUAAGAGCUUAGUGGUGACAUUAAAAGCCCAGAAAGCCCAUCAAACUCGGCCCAUGCGCCCCAUGCGGUCCAAUUACAAUUCCCGACGACGCCAGGAUUCCUCCGCCGCCACCCGCAUCUCCUUCCUGCCGCCAGGAUCCUCAUCUCCGCGGGGAGAGGCGAGGAGGGCGGCUGGGCGAAGACGAGGAGGAGGCACUGCCUCUCGUCGCCGAGGGAUCGGUGCAUCGCCAGAUGAGCCGAGGACGAGGGAGCAGCGAAGCAGCCGACUGCUGUUCGUAAGGGAGUGGGAACAGUGAAGCGGAAAAGGAGGUCAGCGGACGGUUGCAGUUGUGGCAGUUGUUUGUUAUUAUUGGGAUAAAAAUGAUGGCCAGCAUUAAACAUCUAAUUUGAUCACUUGGUUAUUUUUAUUUAUUUUUACAAAAAAUUAUGAUUUAAACAUAAAUAUAUAUAUCACGUCUCUUUUUUUUUUGGUUGCAUAAUUACAUUUUUUAUUUUCAUUUUAUUUAUAAGUAUACUGAUUUUAAGAAAUAUCCUUCGUUUUGGAUUUUUUUUAAUAAAAUGUUUCCCAUUACUGUCCCAUUUUUUUAAUCUCAAAAUAACUCGAGUUGAACAGUCAAAAAGUCUCAGGAGUUAGUUAGUAUUUUUAAAUAAAAUUAUAUCAUUUUUUCGAAAGCACUAAUAGAAAACAUAAAAAAGGGAUGACAACUGGAAAAAGUCUAAAUUGAGAAGAUUUUUCGGAAAUUCGUCUUAUAUAAGAUGAAUUUUGUUUUUUUAUCACAAAUAACUCCUCUUUUGUAAGUAAUGACCAAAGUGUGCGAUAAGUUGCUGUGGUAGCAUAUCAGAGAUGGAGAUGGAGCAUAGCUUUCACCUCUCCAUCCAAUGAAUUGAUGUCUCGACAUCCCGAGAUGUGCCAUCAAUCCGUCCCCACCCCAUCACAAACAACGCCCCUUGGCUCCCAAAAAUACACCAUGUGCCAUGUGCCAUGUGCCAUGUCCAUGGUGGAGCACAGCAUCACCACAGCAAAAGAAUCUAACACCAGCCAUGUGACUCCCCCGUCCGCGAAAGCAGGUCACAGGCGCAAUAGCCACCAGCCAUGACGAAGACGACCCGGUUUUACACCAACCACAACAGUGAAAGAAUCCGUAAAAAGAGAGUUCCAAGGUGACAAGCCACUGAAACAGGACGACGCUCGCUCUCUCUCCCCUUCGGAGAGGGCUACAAAGGGACGCACAUUGCUGAGCCCCCAUGGCUCCACAACAUUUACACACCCACACAGCUUACUUCAAACACACUUGCAUAGCCCGCCGGAUCGCCUUUGCAUUUCCUGCGGGAACAUGUACCAGGCUUGUUCUCAAGGUUUUAUUCUUCUUCUGCCAUUCAUUGAUGGCGUACCUUCUUCUUCUUCGAUCAAAGGAAGUUAAGGCGAGAGGUGUAGGUGGCCUUGGGAGACCAGUUUCUUGGAAUCACGUCCCGGGCUGAGAGGGUCCUUUGGGUGGUCAAUGUGGUGAGCUUCACUGAGAAUGGCCCCUGCAGAGGUCCCCCAAUGAUGCACCAACUCGCUCCCCACACGUGCUUCAUCUCUAGCCACUUCAUGGAAUUUGCCUGCAAGAGAAAUAUGCACUUAACUGCAAAAGAAAUGGAUCAGUUCUUGACCGGACAGGGAGGAGCCUUUCCAACCUUCCAAUGUAAUGAGGAAUCGGUGACCGAGAAAUAUGAAUCCUAAAAAGUGGGAUCAAGAGUGCUGCCUGCAACUUUAGCUCCAAAGAGGAGAAGAAUAAAGAGCUUUAGUUGCAUCAAUUCUUGUCUUAAAGUUGUGAGUGCAUUCAUCAAUCAGGUUUUGGCCCACAACACUAACAACAAGAAAGUUCUUCUAAGAUUCUUAGCAUUAUUAUACUUAUCACUCUCCUCUAAGACAACAACAAACAUUCAUCACUGCAAUAUCUACAGUCAUGUCAGACAAAUAGCAGAAUCCUUGAUGAAAUCUUAUCUUCAUAAAUAAAACUACAACUUGAUGAGCUACUGAUGAUGGAUUGGAUUUGCCCGGUCAACACAACUCCUAUUUUCUUCAAAGAUGAUAAAUAGGCAGACCAACUUGUGGCAGACAGGCAAACCAGACACUGGGACAUUUGUUUGGGCUUUAUUGUUUAGAUAAAUGUUACUUUUACAACCAUAAAAAGAGGAGGAUAAAUUGCAGCAAAACUCCUAGAGCAGAGCUGAUCUGUCACCUAAAUAUUUUAGCUACAAACAGAUUGUGGAACAAACUGCAUCAUUUCCAUCUGUGCCGGUUCAUGUAGGAGAAGCAUCAAACUACAACUUAGAUAAGAACAUAAAACAGAUAUAAGGUAGGAAAUUGUACUUGUUUUAUAUGCAUGGAUCCGAUAUCUCCAUCAUCACCCUCAAACUCCACAAGAAGAGAGAGCCAAAAGUUCGUGGAACCUUCGUUUACAUGAAACGCGAUAUUCUUUCCCGGGUACUUGCAUGGAGUCCUGAAAAAUACAACAUUCGAAGAUAAAUUUUUGAUCGAACUAUAUUUGCUAAUGUAAGAAUUAAAUCACAUGGUGGUGGAUUUCCGAUAUAAUCCUCGACUUUGGCUGAUGCUCUAUGAUUUUUCCAGGCUAAUUUGACAAUUACUCUGAAAAUUCAAGAGAUUGGUAGAGCUAAACAGUAAAAUCACAUGCUUCAUAGACUGCUCUGAUGAGCAUCAAGGAAAGCUUCUGAUCCCUUUCAUCAACAGAAUUAACACAACCUUCUCUAUCUGAUGAUCCCACAACACCAACUUAUAAUCCAAUUUUAGGAGCCGGUUUUAGCAUUAAGGACUAAUUAGUGCUAGUAUUCAGUUCUAUAAGGAGCAACAUCAUUCAGCAAUCUUUUUUCAUGUUCCAGAUCAAAUCUUAUGCUCUCUAUCUCACUCUGCGGUAACUUUUUUAAGUUUAAUUUGAGUUCACCAGUAAAAGAUUUCUCAUAAAUUUGGUGAUUACUAUGUGCAUGACUAUGAAAAUUGUCAGGAAUCUCGAUAGCCACCGAUCUAAUAUGCUCAAGUCACACUCACACAUAUAUGAGACAACAAACAAUUGCAUAAAAAUGCCAAAAGCAGUUCCCUGUCUUGUAUGAUGAACAAAAUAAGGGGCGUCCGAAAAUGUCGUCUUUUGCACGAAAAUGUCGACAUUUGCACAUAAAUGUGGUAAACGGGGUUGUCGUCAUCGAUGUUUCGAUGCUUAGCUUACCUGCAGAAUAUGACGGAGAUCUCGCCACGGUCGCGCAGCUGGCCGGCCUCGCCCGCGACGGCCAUGCGGCCGAAAGCGGCACCGCUGAGGUCGAAAUGCGUGUGGCCGGAGGCGCAGUACCCGCCGGGACACUCGUCGGUGACGAUGACGGUGACGGCGCGGCGGGAGCAGAUGGCGGGGUCGAGGCACCGCACCUUGUAGCAGGCGCCGCAGCCCUCGCCGCCCUUGAACAGCACCGGGCUCACCGCCCCCACCCGCGCCCGCAGCGGCUUCACGUCCACCAGCGUCCCGUACCCGCACGCUCCACCUGCCAUCCACGAACCAUCACCAAAGCUUUAUUUCCAUGACUGCACGGAGGCGGCCAAAUUAGCACCAAAGGAGGGCGACGGCCAACACGAUGAGAUACGGUCGUCGCCCUACACACGCAACGCCUUCAUCCACCACACCGCUCUUGCCACGCAGCCAGAGUCAAGCGGGACCCGCGAGCAAGCGGGGUGAACGCCCAACGGCUACGAAGCCGCCAACGGCUAGAAACGCAAGCUCACGUGCGCGCCCGUCCGAUCUUAAUCUAAUGGUGGCGAGGGGAAGGGGAAGAGGUAGGGAAGGGCGAGAGCUCACCGUCGCUGCCGUCGCCCUCGGCGCUGCCGUACCACGUGGCAGUCGCCGGGUGCCAAUGCGGGUCGAAAACCGCAAACGCCUCGCCGGCGUCGAAGAAGAAGAAGAGGAAGCAAAACAAGAACAAAAAGAAGCCGCAGCUGGAGGAGGAGGAAGAAGUCAUUGUGAGCUUCUCUCCUCGCUUUUAGGCUUCCAGGAGGCCAAGUAUCAGCUCCAGUGUCCGGAUCUCGAUGUGCAAACGGCCACUGCAGUUUGCCUCACUUAUAUAGACCAACAAACCCACCUCUCACCACCCCAUAAAAUAUUGCUCAUGCUUAACGCCCCAAACUACUGGCAACAAACAGUACUUGGAUCUCCAGAGAGAGAGAGAGAGAGAGAGAGAGAGAGGCGGGGGCGAGGGAGACAAGCUCAGCAAGUCCCACUGCAGAGGGGGAGUAAUUUUGGGUUGCCGCCAAUGACUACAUGGACGGGGGACCAGAAUCGAUCCGACGCGGGGCCCCGUCAUGUUGUGCUGCUCCAUGUGCACUCCCACGUCGCGUAAUUACGAGAUUGACCCUGUCACGUACGCGGCUCACUCGGUGUGCCGACAGUGGCUCGACCGUUAUAAACGAGGAAACAAUUUGGUUCCGUUAGUUAGUUGAAGGGUCAAUUCUUACCGAGCUUUUCUUAUUAAUUUCCAUUAUAGUGGGCUUAUCGAAUCCAAGGAGGUAUGACGGAGGAUAUGUCGGCUCUUAAUUCCUUAUAUUAACCUUUUUAUUUAUUUAUUUUCCCUAUCACCAAAUGGUGGGUGCAACACGUGCCUAUCGCAAUCUUGAAGAUGAUGUUUCGUCAGAAAUCUUUUUAAUAUAUAUAUAUAAAUAUAUACAUACAUAUAUGCCAUUGCACGGUGUUCAUAUUUGUCUUUACAAUAUUGUUGAUAGCCAAUUUUUAUUGAAAACACAUCACAUUUUUAAAGAAAUCCGAUGGGAAUUAACAAAUAAUGAUGGGCAAGUUGCGUGGUCUUGCAAUGAUUAUGGUUGUAAAUUUAGCCAGUUAAAGAGGGUAUUUUCGUCAUGGAAUAGUGGGGAACUGCACCACCGAGAUGGUCGACACGUCGAGACAUGGAUACGGUAGCAACGAAAAUUUACGAGAAUGUUCAUAACCUUUGUUCGAAACUUGGAAAGUACCACGACCGGGGAGAGACCAGACGGAAGGAACGGCGUGCUCAUGGGAUCUGCCGACACUCGGGGCGAUAACGGACGGCAGAGAUGGCGUGCGCAACGGACCGUUGGUGUGCAAUCAAACGGACAAACAACUCGACGCGAGCGAAUUGGCCGGUCAGCUGCUGUCUUUAGUGGGUCAAACUCUACUGCAGUCUCUGUACCCGAUGAUGACGGUAAUUAUAUGUGUCUGUUUAAUGAUUGAUGCAUGUAAUUAUUUGGAGGAUUAAAAUGUCAACGGAGGGCAACUAGUUAUGUUCCUCGUGGAGUCAGUACACAGGGUCUGCGUGGGCCUUCUGGAAGUUAAUACUGUGGGCCAACCGCUGCAUACUACCAGUUUGACUGUGUCGUUGAAUGUGACAAAGGUUUCUACCAUUACCGACAGUUGAUACAGAUUUUGAACGAAUUAUUAUUCAUCCUAAAAUUUUGAAGUUGUUAUAUAUAUAUAUGAUGUAUAUUAAGCUCAAUCGGAUUAGAAUUGAAAGAUGAAACUGAACCUAAAUGUAUUUUGCAAAUCAAUUAAACAGAAAAUAUUGGUGAAAUAAAAAAAGAAAGGAUAGAGAGAAUUUGAAUUCACAACUAGCUCUUCUGAUAAUACGAUAAAGAUUUUGAUUAAGUUAUCAUUGUUCUUGAAUGUUUAAGCUGUUAAAAAACGGCAUAUUGGCAUGUUCAUGCAGAAGUCGCGAGUCAUCCAUGCUAUUAGUUAGCCUCUGUUCUUUGAAGCCAUGAAGGCUUCUUCAUGUUGAAGGGUGACAGACAAAAUAAUGUCUGUUGAAGAAGGGGGGAAAAAGUAGGAAAGAAACAGGGAGACGUAGUAGCCAGAAAUGUGCCAGUGGCGAUGUCUUUAAGCACCCAGGUCCAGCUCUAGAUCAAAAUUUAAGAACUUGUUAAUACUCCAUUAUUUUGUAUCUGUUACAUAAAUAAAAUCUCCUUGAUCAUAGCAUCUUUAAGCAAUUUGGAAGCUGUAAAUUCUAUAAAUAUAAUAGCAAAGAACUUUUGUAUAGGUAUGUUAGGACAAACUUGUUUCUCAGAAUCUUGGACACAUCUCUAGAUCAAACAAUCUCUUCUCUUUCUGCUUGGACCAAAUAAAAGCAAGUGAUUCCAGCCUUGUUGGAUAAAUUUGAUUUCGUCUGGCAUUUUAACCUGCAGAAAGUUGCAAAAAGUUAGCUUCAAGUAUAUUUAACUGCUGCUGAUCAUAAGAUGCAGCUUUUGUGCAGGAGGCUCUCAUUUUAUCAGAUAAAACACUUCAUCACAGUACAGCUGACAAUGGAACUCAACAACCAAAAGAUCACAGAAGAUGCCCUCAGUUUUAGGUACAGGAGCUAAUAAUCAAAAGUCAAAGCAUUUUACAUUUUUACUGAGACCAACAUGUCCAAUAGACCAAAAUUAUCACAAAACUUCAAAGAAAAGGAUUGUUGUGCUGCUAAGCAAUUUCCAUGCCCAACUCAAUAAAAGAUGGACUACCAAAUCAAAGUACUCCUACAACCAGAUUGAACCUCGAUACCUUAUUUUAGAGAAUGAAUCAAGUCAACUGUUCGAGCCAGAUACGUAAAACUCAACACAGUGCUGUGGAAUCAAGCAUCAGAUGAUGGCUCCGGUGCCUUGUCUGCUUGCUCUUCUACCUUGGGGUUUUCUCCCUUUGGUGAGCCAGUAGUGCCAUUAGCUUUGGGAUCCUCCGCUGGUGUUGCUAGCUGUUUUUCUACAGCAGCAGUACCACCACCACCAUCUUUGGCAAGCUUAGCUGGUGAAACGGGCUGUUUGCCUGUAGCAGUAGCACCAACUUUGGCACCUUUGGCUGGUUCUGGUGCAGGUGGUGGUGGAGGUUUCAUGUGUGGUGGGGGAGUAUGUUUCAACUUGACCAAUAUCUGGCGCAUCCUAGAGAUAUCGGUGGGCUUCCCAGGCUUAGGACCCUGGAUAACAGCGAUUGAAGGUUUCUUCUCCUGCUCUUUCUUCCCUCUCCUCUUCUCAAUGUUGGCUAUCUCAUGAGGGAUAAGCUCUGCAAUUGCUUUCCAGUAUUGUUUAUCUACAUUUGCAUGGAACUUCUCCUGGUUGGCUAGAUAUAGCUGAUCACAGACAAAAGAAAACUGCUUAGAGGACUUCAGAUCAUAAAUGUAGCAAAUCUUAAAAUUCAACUAAAUAGAGGGACCAAAAGGUGCAAGAAGAAUUAUUUUAACCUUUUCUCGUUCUCUGUUCUGUGUCUUGUUUGUUUCACAGUUCAAUUUCCUUUUCUCAUAAAAAGCUCGUUUGUAUUCUUCAGCUUCAGCGAUAAUCUCGUUUCUACGCUCUUUUUCCUUUCUCUCUUUCUCCUCAAGUUCAAUGGCAUUUUGGCUGCAUGUUUGACAUAUUACCGAAACAACUUGAAACAACAGCAACAAGAAUUCUAAAAUAGAGUAUUAAGAGUAUGCAUCGAAGACCAUUCUCAAGAACUUCUAGAGCAUGUUCGUUUCGAUAUGAAAAUAACCACAUUAAGUUAUCCUAAACCAGUUAUGUUAACCUUAAAGGGUUAUUUUAACUUGAUAGUCCUGACAAAACGCAUGCAUGGAAAUCAUGAAAAAAUGAAUCAUGUUUGACAACAAGCAAUACAUAUGCAAGAAUUCAGAAUUGACUAGUUUACAACAAUAUAUGCCAGUCAAAAUUAGUGGUUGCAGUAAUGUCGUCAGAAAGGUCAGCAGACAAACAAACAGAAAAGUAAGGUCCAAAAGGUAAAGAUUAUAAGUGAAACGUGACCUAUCAACAAAAAAGAAAAUACAUCUUAAACCAUUUAUUUGUAUGAUCUUUAAGCCAAAAAAAACUUUAUUAUGGAUGUCUGACAGAAUAGCAAUAUAGUUAGAUUAGAAACAACUAGAGAAGUCAGAUAUGUCUGUCCAACUAUUAGGAAGCAUCUAAGAGACUUCCACUGACACUGAACACCUUAAACCAUCUAAUAGAACUGAUAACAGCAAGCACAGCCAGAAAGCACCUUAAACCAUCUAAGAGAUGUCCACUGACACCUCAAAAGGGAAAAGCAAAAGAUCAUGAAGAGUUUUGCCAGCUCUACCAACCCUUUAUGGCAGGUAGGCACAUAAAGAAUAAUAAGCAAUGGAAAAUCUUAUUAGUCACAAGUAUGUUCCUUGUUAUAUUUCCAAGAAAAAUCCAGUAAGCAGAAUCCUGGUUAGGCGUGUCAGAUAAGACAUCAUGUCUACAUGAUGAAAGCUGCAAUUUACAGCAAGAAAGAUUGUCAUGGUUGCAAUUGAGGAUUGGUAGAAAAGGUUGUCUAAAAAAAUAAAGCAUCUUCGGACUCAGUUUGAAGCAGUCAAAAUUCAACAUUGAGAACAUAGCUUUUUUCUAUUUUCAGGAGAAGAUUGAGAACAGAAUUAAAUGCAACAACAAGUUCUUUUCAGUUUCAAGACCAGGCCUUAUCCAGAAUCCUUUCGGACCAAAAGGACUUUUGGACCCUAAGGUGAUCUGGAGAGAGCCUAAAGCUUGGAUUUUGAAAAUUAUGCGAAGUUCCUAUUCCUUUUAACAGAUUUUGGACAAGGACAAUAUGUGGCACACGAUUGGAAAAGAGAAAAGAUGGUAAGCUUACAAAAGAUGACAAAUCAGAAUAUAUAUUUUCAAGUACCAUACUAUAAUAGUAAAGGUCUAAUUUGCUCUAAAUAAAACUAGAUACUGGCAGAAGAUCCAUGUAGCUGGUCAUAAUUAAAUGGGACAGUACAUCAUGUUGUAUUUAUCAAUGAAAAGAAUCUCAAAACUUGGAAAAAACUGAUAAAUUUGGUAAAAAGUUUGAAAACAGAAAAAUAGUAGCGAUUCCUCACAUUGAUAAAACCAAUAAAAGAAACAGAUCCAAAGACAAUUUGGUGAGAAUGAUAGUAGAAAAAUUGUCUGAAUUAGAAUCCAAUUAAAAAGACUAACCCUGGCUGAAAAAAUAAAAAGUAGCUCAAUCAAACUUCAGAUCACAAUGACUAUAACAAGAAAAAACCUUUAUCUCAAAUUGACGCGAAUAUAUAAUUAUUAAUCAGAAAGAUAUCUGACCUUAAAUAAGGGAAUUAAAGAAGCAGAGAUCAAUGCACCAAAGAGAACCAAGCAAUCAAACUAGAAGAGAACCUAUAAGCAUGUAUAGCAUCAUGCAAUUAGAUCUAUCAUUCUAAAAUAAGUUCCAGUAACCCCAAUUUCAUGAAACAACUAAGUCAACGCAAUUAGAACAUAGGCAAUAGAAUGAAGCUUCGAUCUAAAAGACCAGAGGCUCACCGGCGCCACUCGCGGAGGAGGAAACCCUCCUCCCGCAUCUGAUCCGGUUCAGGAAGGAGCGGCCCGUCCGUGAUGAAGAUCUCGCCGUUCUCCUCCCCGCCGUUGGCCACUUCGUCAGCCUCCGGCAUCACGAACGGCGAGGGCGAGGACGAGAAACCGUAACCCUCCGGCGAGGCCGACAUGCUCCCGCCGCCGUCAUGGUGGAUGGGGACGUCCUCCGGCUGGAACCCGUACCCUCCUCCGCCGUCGGCGGAGGCGGCGCCGGGGAACAUGUCGUCGCUGGCUGGGUCCUUGGCGUGUUCGUCAGCGGCGAAGGAGGAGUACGCGUCGUAGCGCUGGGAGGGGAGGCGGGGGUCGUAGCCGAGGGACCCGUCGUCGAAGGGGCGGGCGGUGGCUGACGCGGGCGCCACGGCCGCCUCCUCCUGCACGCCGCCGUUGCUGAACUCGGUGUCGAACUCGGACGACAUCUCUCCGAUGGCGCUCUCUCUUCCCCUUUCUCUACCUCCUCCGUUUACUUGAUAUGGGUUGUUGUUGUCUCUUCUCCUGCGAGAUCGGUCGAAGAGGAAGGUCGUUUGGCGAUGGUUUGACUGCAAUUUUAUGCUGUUUCUAAAUGACCAGUUUGCCCUUCAGGGGGAGGGAGAUGAAAUCAUGCGCGAAUAGGAUGACACUUGGCACAAAAGAUCAAAUUUCAUUGUCAACAAAUUUAUUAUUUAAAGAACACGUGCCUCGAAAGGGGAGAACCAAAAGGCUAAUUGUUUAUAUUAAACAUUUGAGGAAAAUAUAUAAUUAAACAUUUAUAAUAACAAUUUACACUAUGAGGAGAAGAUUUUGCAUGAGAACAAAACUCAUUUAAUUUUUAUUAAUAAAAAAUAGAUAACCUUUUUUUCAUAAUGUAUAUGAAAAUUGAAGAAGUUUCCGAUGUUCAGGAGAAGUUUCUUAUGAGUUGGAUUGGACAAUCCUGGACCUAAAAAUUUUGAGAAAACUCAGUUCCCAAACAUGGAUCAAAUCAUGCUAUUUUAGCAGAAUUAGUAUCGUGGAGCUUUAUCAUGCACUUUUGUUGGAUUAAUCAUAUAAAAACAAGAAGAGAUGCAAUGUCUAUAAACAAACUAACAUGUUGGUUAGUGCACUAUUAUUUAACUCUCUAAUCUCAUAAAUAUUAUAAUGAGCGAAGCUCAGACAUCAUUCUGAUCUCGACUUUAGUUAAAUAUGAAAUAGAAAAAUCAUAAAUAAUAAUAGGUCGUCUAUUAGAAUGAAAAGUCAGGAGAUUAGGCUUUGUUAGUAAAGAUGGAAUAUAUAUAAAUAUAUAUAUAUAUAUNNNNNNNNNNNNNNNNNNNNNNNNNNNNNNNNNNNNNNNNNNNNNNNNNNNNNNNNNNNNNNNNNNNNNNNNNNNNNNNNNNNNNNNNNNNNNNNNNNNNNNNNNNNNNNNNNNNNNNNNNNNNNNNNNNNNNNNNNNNNNNNNNNNNNNNNNNNNNNNNNNNNNNNNNNNNNNNNNNNNNNNNNNNNNNNNNNNNNNNNNNNNNNNNNNNNNNNNNNNNNNNNNNNNNNNNNNNNNNNNNNNNNNNNNNNNNNNNNNNNNNNNNNNNNNNNNNNNNNNNNNNNNNNNNNNNNNNNNNNNNNNNNNNNNNNNNNNNNNNNNNNNNNNNNNNNNNNNNNNNNNNNNNNNNNNNNNNNNNNNNNNNNNNNNNNNNNNNNNNNNNNNNNNNNNNNNNNNNNNNNNNNNNNNNNNNNNNNNNNNNNNNNNNNNNNNNNNNNNNNNNNNNNNNNNNNNNNNNNNNNNNNNNNNNNNNNNNNNNNNNNNNNNNNNNNNNNNNNNNNNNNNNNNNNNNNNNNNNNNNNNNNNNNNNNNNNNNNNNNNNNNNNNNNNNNNNNNNNNNNNNNNNNNNNNNNNNNNNNNNNNNNNNNNNNNNNNNNNNNNNNNNNNNNNNNNNNNNNNNNNNNNNNNNNNNNNNNNNNNNNNNNNNNNNNNNNNNNNNNNNNNNNNNNNNNNNNNNNNNNNNNNNNNNNNNNNNNNNNNNNNNNNNNNNNNNNNNNNNNNNNNNNNNNNNNNNNNNNNNNNNNNNNNNNNNNNNNNNNNNNNNNNNNNNNNNNNNNNNNNNNNNNNNNNNNNNNNNNNNNNNNNNNNNNNNNNNNNNNNNNNNNNNNNNNNNNNNNNNNNNNNNNNNNNNNNNNNNNNNNNNNNNNNNNNNNNNNNNNNNNNNNNNNNNNNNNNNNNNNNNNNNNNNNNNNNNNNNNNNNNNNNNNNNNNNNNNNNNNNNNNNNNNNNNNNNNNNNNNNNNNNNNNNNNNNNNNNNNNNNNNNNNNNNNNNNNNNNNNNNNNNNNNNNNNNNNNNNNNNNNNNNNNNNNNNNNNNNNNNNNNNNNNNNNNNNNNNNNNNNNNNNNNNNNNNNNNNNNNNNNNNNNNNNNNNNNNNNNNNNNNNNNNNNNNNNNNNNNNNNNNNNNNNNNNNNNNNNNNNNNNNNNNNNNNNNNNNNNNNNNNNNNNNNNNNNNNNNNNNNNNNNNNNNNNNNNNNNNNNNNNNNNNNNNNNNNNNNNNNNNNNNNNNNNNNNNNNNNNNNNNNNNNNNNNNNNNNNNNNNNNNNNNNNNNNNNNNNNNNNNNNNNNNNNNNNNNNNNNNNNNNNNNNNNNNNNNNNNNNNNNNNNNNNNNNNNNNNNNNNNNNNNNNNNNNNNNNNNNNNNNNNNNNNNNNNNNNNNNNNNNNNNNNNNNNNNNNNNNNNNNNNNNNNNNNNNNNNNNNNNNNNNNNNNNNNNNNNNNNNNNNNNNNNNNNNNNNNNNNNNNNNNNNNNNNNNNNNNNNNNNNNNNNNNNNNNNNNNNNNNNNNNNNNNNNNNNNNNNNNNNNNNNNNNNNNNNNNNNNNNNNNNNNNNNNNNNNNNNNNNNNNNNNNNNNNNNNNNNNNNNNNNNNNNNNNNNNNNNNNNNNNNNNNNNNNNNNNNNNNNNNNNNNNNNNNNNNNNNNNNNNNNNNNNNNNNNNNNNNNNNNNNNNNNNNNNNNNNNNNNNNNNNNNNNNNNNNNNNNNNNNNNNNNNNNNNNNNNNNNNNNNNNNNNNNNNNNNNNNNNNNNNNNNNNNNNNNNNNNNNNNNNNNNNNNNNNNNNNNNNNNNNNNNNNNNNNNNNNNNNNNNNNNNNNNNNNNNNNNNNNNNNNNNNNNAAUAUAUAUAUAUAUAUAUAUAUAUAUAUAUAUAUAUAUAUAUAUAUAUAUAUAUAUAUAUAUAUAUAUAUAUAUAUAUAUAUAUAAAAGGUAAAAGGCAGCCACUGCAAACUCAAGUAAUCACAAACCAAAAAUUAUCAUGAAUUAGAUAAAUAGGGUCAUCUAGAUUUACCUUCAACUCUUCUAGUGCCACAACAAUUUUCUUACACAGUGGCGUGUCAAAGAGUAUGAUGACUAAUCAACAAGCUAGGAAUAACCAGAAGCCAUGAACCCAGCUUUAGUGUCGGUGAAAAUGCACCUCAACAACAAUCAGGUGAGCUACAAAUAGUUGAUAAACCUGAUUGCAUCAAAAAGGGGAAAUUUUGAUUUAGUUUCUAUGAAGUCUUUGAACGAUGAAGAACAAGAACGCCAAGGAUAAACUGUUUAGAGAUCAUGGGGUGGAAAUGUCAAACAGAGAUAAAAAAAUGAUUGCUUCUAUAGCACAGAGGAUGGAAAGCGAAGGAGAAACAGUUGAGAUAUCAUCAGGUGGAAGUGUUAAACAGGGAUAAAAAAUUAUUACUUUAUAACACAGAGGAUGGCAAGAAUCAAAUUCAUCAAAUGCUAAUAAAAUUCAUCCAUAUUUAUCCACAAGUCCAAUUAAUUACUUCAAAUAUGCAGCUUCUUGACUUUGAAUUUCCCCAAAACAGAGUUUUUUACAUGCAAGUAAACUGACACCACAGCAUUGAAAAAGCAACCCGUGUUUGCCUGGCAUUUCAUAGCAAUAAUUUCGGGAAAUCAUGUCACAAAUUCCAAAACCAUUUGCUUCUAAGUGGUGUUAUAUAAAUAUCUCCAAUGAUUCAACUGGAAAUGUCAACUUAACUGCAUGCAUCUCCACAAUCCGCAUUUAGGUCCAUUAUCCAAUUAAACAACCAAGAACCAAGAAUGCCUUUAAAUGAAGAGCUCCAAAUAGAUGGGAUGAGUACAAGUACAUCUAAUUGGACAUGAAAAAAUAUACCAUCAGAAUACUAAUAUUCAAUUAGUGGAUUUGUGAUUCAUUAUAGUCAGAAAAUAUGAGGACCACAAAAUCAUUUCGUCCGAGGACUUAUGUUGGGUCAAACAACAGAAAACAACAAACACUUUGACAUUAUGUGAAAUUACAUAGCAUCCACAAUAAGCUCAUCUUUUUCUUAUGCAGGUAAAAAGGUAAUAUUUCUCAACUUUCAGGAGGCUACCCUAAAAUUUCUCGAGACACAAGUAGGUUCAAGCAGCAGAGUACCUUCUUUAUUUUGAACUAAGCUCUAUACUCAUGGAUACGCAUCCAUUUUGUAGAAGACCACUUAUUUCCUUUGAUAACAGGACAUCCAGCUGCAAUAAGUUUAACAACACAAUUACCAUCUCAGUAACAAAGCUGGUAAGUUAAACUUGGCUGCAGACAGCUAGAACAGUCUGUAAGAAGAUUGUGGAUGAAUCUCUGAAGUGAAACAGUUCCAAAAUCUAAACUUGAUUUAGCUGAUCAAACACUUAACAACUCACCGUGCAAACUAGAUGGAUCCAAUGUGGCAUCUGGCCUCAUGCUCCAAAAGAGUAAUGCAUCUCCCAUCUUAGGUUUCACAGAAAUACCCUUCUUUGCACAGUCUGAUAGCUCAUUAUACCCUGGCAAAGAGCUACUAUUUACUUUGGCAGAAGGAAAUACAGUUUCACCACCUUCCUCAACAUCAGAACUGAGGAACAGAAAUGGUUAGAAAAAAAGAGAAAAGAUGUUAGAACAUUUUUUUACAAACUGUGUCAUUUACUGACAAUGUUAUUGGCCUCUGAGUAUAAUAUAGGGUGUGAUUCUUACAGAUACAUAAGUAGGGUAGCAAUACGCUGACCCCCAUUCUUGGUGUUGAAUUCGUCGAGGAAGUAGUCAAAGUGCGGUUCAUAUUUCUGACCAACUUCAUAAUGGAGAACCUGAAGUCCCUCACCAUUUUCUGUAAGAACAUAAAGCCAAAUUCUAGGUGAAAGAUAAGAAAAAAAGUAAAAACUAACACCUAAGGCAAAUGCUACUUCAAAAGAAACUAAUACUACGGUAGAGAUGUAUAAUUUAUAUUGGUUAGAAAAUUAGUGGCAUGAUGAACUGUCUAUUUACUAAGGUGCUGGAACAUACUACUUCUAUCACUGUAAAAGUCAGCCAAUUGUAUACUUUUUGAAUUUGACAUUGUUUUUCACUGAAUAAAUGUUAUAAACUUAGAAUAUUCCAGGAGUGAAUCAAACAAAUGCCCUACAAUAAAAUGUUAUCAAAAUAGAUUGAUGAUGUUUAAAAUCCAGUACUACACAAUUGCAGAUUCCAGUCGUGGCAUCUCACUAUAAAAUGAGAAGUACAAGCAUUGCGACUACAUAUCAUAUCUAGUCAGCACACACAAAUUACAUAUAAAUUGAAAGCAACAGUCAAAAUAACAUUUCUUACCGAGAAAAAUUCAUGCUUACUACAAAAGAUAGACCAUGAGAAAUCAAAUAUGUCUGUUAAGAUGACAUGAACCAGAUGAUUUCUCACUUUAAAAAGGAACAAAUGUAUAUUAGAAGUACCACGAUGUUUCAUACUAAGCAACUCAAUUCACAGAUAAUCUAACCCAAGACUUGCAAAGUACAAUGCUCCUCAGGCCCUACAAUGGCGGGAGUCAAUCUGCAUUGGGCUUCCCUUUCGUUCAUAGAAUCAUUUUGAUUAAAGAUGAUCACAAAAACCAUGGAAUGGCAUAUCAAGUAAAAGAAUUGCUUUUAUAGUACCCACAGACAAAGUUUUUCAGUUUGUAUAAUAUACUGAAUACACACCUACAGGUAUGAAGGUAUAAUCGGCUAUCCUUUUCUCGAUCGUUCGGAUAAUUUUGUCUUGUCCUCUUCUAAGAAACAUGCCUGAACUUGUCCGUACCCUGAAAAGAAAUUAGUAUGAUUGAAGAUGUAAAACAAGGAGACAAUGUCUGACAAAAUUAGAGCCUGCGAAAUGCAAACCUGCUGUCUUUACUCUGACCAGUAGCAGUAUCGACAACUGUUGACUUCUCCAUGUGAGGCUUUGCCAAUUCAGUCAGGUAUUCACAUUCUUUCUUGGACUAAUAAAAAUGAACACAAUACCAGAGCCCAUCACUUCCAACAGAAUAUCAUUGGCGAACCUUGCUAAAGGUAUUACUUGCAUAAUCAGACAGCUUUUAAAAGAUAAUUUGAGGUCACCAAAGCAAGAAUAACAAGAUAAAAAAGAACUUUUAGACCUAGAAUCACACACUUAUAUCUGGUUUUCCCAGGUCACCAUAUGAGAAGGAUCAAGAGUGAGGGUAAAGAAACAAUGUGUAAAACAUCUAGGAGUCCGCCGUAUUGGAAAGUUUUAUAUAAAUCAAGCAAACUUACACAAAGCUGUAAAAAAGAUAAAAAAGAAUGAGGGUAUGUCAAAUAUGGAAGAUUUGAAGCUAUGACCGAUGCAAAGGUAUGCAACAUGGACAGCAUUCAACGAACUCCCACCCAGGACCAGUAUAUGUAUCUACACGUAGAAUAAAAUCUUUCUUUUUCAACAAGGGACCAACCAACUGUUCAUGGUAUGGUAAAAUCAUGUCUAGACCUUAGGGCAACAACAUAUAGAACACUUGAUUGUGUCAAAGGCAGAAAAUGUGAUAUGUGAAAAAUCAAAGAAUGAUAACAACUGCAAGAACAGAUAUAGCAGGUCAGUCUGAAGUGUAUCAUCACAAGAGAAAGUUGGAAAACACCUUUCAAGACUAAUUUAGCAGGUAAUCUUAACAAAGAUGUGAGCGAGUUCCUCGGUGGUGGAUAUGGGUAUGUGUGGGAUUGGCAAAUGACCUUCUACCGGUGGAUUCCUUGUAGAGGGGUUGACAAAUAUGGUUUUGGUAUCCUUUGACUGAGAAGUAAUCUUAAGGUCAAUGCACAACCAGUUGACCAUGAUAUCGAAGGACUUGCGAGCAUUCCCACUGAUCAUGAUGUGAAAGAUUGAGAUAUAUUAGAAAGAAGCCGUCGGUAACCUAGUUCGCUCGGCAAUCUUGCAUCAGGCCAGAGAAUUUGACAGGACAUAAAUAUGUGAUCAUAAUUCAUUAAUGUAAAGCCUAGAUUAGGAGAGUCGCCACAAAGAGAGAGGUGAUAAAUAGUGGAAUUUUCACAUUUAUCGGAUCUAUAAAUGAAGCUAGUUUUUAGAAUUACUGCCAUUUUAAUUUCUCCCCAAAAAUUAAAACAGAGCGCAUUGCUUUUUAGGUUUGGAAUGACAACUAAAAUUGGUACCUUUCAACAGUUUUCUAACACGCAUUUCAGGAAAUCUAGGAGCAGAGACGGGAAUCAACAUGAACGGAGAAAAGCAGCGGAUGAAAUAUACCAACCAGAAAGUUGUGAUAUAUAAACGCCCUGGGCUCCCACGAGAGCACCUCCGUCCACUGAUCCCCCCUCUCCCCCAUCCCAUCCCUCCUACAAAACCCGAAAACGCAAUCAAUGCUGACGGAAAGAGACCGCAGAUCCAGGGCGAAGCGUCAACAGAUCGGGUCGGGAGUGAAAAAGAACGCACAUCUCGUGGAUAGAUCGAUGGGGGCGGUGGUCUAGCUUGGGUGGGCCGUCGGAGUUCACGGGAAGCGAGAAGAUCCCGAGGGCGAGGAGCAUCAGGAGGACCACCGACGCGGUCAGGAGAGCUGCCAGGAUCAGCGUGAACGGGGAGGAUCUGCGGCCGGGAAGCUUCCGGGGGUGCCGCGCGCCCCUCGCCAUGGUCGCCGCCAGCACAGCAGCCACCUUUGGGAGAUCUAGACCGGAAGAGAAGAAGGCGAGGAAGACUGAAGCCGUCUGCGGUUCGCUUCUUUGUUCUUAAACUAAACUACGUCUUUUGAACUUUCUUCAAACUCUUAUAUUAUUUUUUUAAAAAAAAUACUUAAAAUAUUUUUAAUAACUUGAUCAAAGGUAAAUUUUCGGAAAAGAUCCCUUAGUCUCAGUUUUGGGAAAUUGAUGUGGAGCUCCCCCUUUUUAAAAACAUUUCUACAAGAGUCUCAAAUUUUUAAAAUAGCAAAAAUAACCUCCAAUAACUUUUUAUUUUUCUCCCCUUAAGAUUUAUCUUUCUCUCUCUAACUAACUCUUUCGAUAAAUCAACCGAUACUAUUAAAAACAUUUAUUAGAUGAUAUCAUAAUUCUAUUAAGGCCUUAAAACUCCAUCCCAUAAAUAUCCCAAAAUCCCUUCCCAUGAUUUAUAGCCUUAGAGAACAAAACCUGUUCAUACAUCUUAUCCGACCACAGACGAUAAAUAUUAUGGUGGCCAGAGUCAGAUGGGAAACUGUUCAUACAUCUUAUCCUGCUCCUACUUGCUUGCACUAUCUGUAAUAGAUAUGCCUCGCAGGAACUGAGACCAGAACUCUCCAACUGUAAAAUUAGAGUUUAUCACGAUUUCAUUUUGUCCGAAAAAUAGGCAGAAUUAUGGAACUGAUAACCGAAAUGCAUUGUAACUUUCUUGCAGCUUACAAUAACAUAGUAAAAAAAAUAAUAAUGUGGAAUAUGAGGAAACCUAAGACUGCAAAGAAAGGCAUGACAGCGUAAGAAAUCUCAGAUGACUUCCAACUUUAAAUUUGUACAACAAUGCUGGUUUCAUAAUUUGAUAGUCUAAAAAGUUCCGUAGAGAUAUCUAAGUCUUCGAAGCCGAUUGGUUCUCUUGCAAAUCAACCAAGCUACUGCAGAAGCGAACAAUGAUGCAGCCCCACAUAGCCAUUUAGCAAGCAACAAAACUGCAACAGGAUCAACCUAGCAAGUAGUAGCUGAGAAACAUUUGAAUGCAAGAGCUUCAAUAGCUAAAGAGACUCCAUUAUUGCAGAGCAGCUGGCUUCAUGUCUGUACUGGAAAGCCAAAAUUUUGAAAUGUUCUAAUUUCACCACCCCAGCCUGCAGUCACAAUCGCCAAUCCCCAGGCUGACAUACUUUGGGCUGUUGUGCCUGCACUGCAAAAAUCACCAUUGCAUUGAGGACUCUGUUUAUUAGCUGUCAUGAGCUCUUCAGGCCAAGUUGCAGAAGCCCUAUCGCUAAACCGAUUCAAGUUUGUAUUGCGAAGGGUACUAUGCUGGUGGGAAUCAAUGCAACGGCAAACGAGUGAAGGUGAAAGCUGGGGUCUGUUAGUCCCUGCCAUUGAUGGUGCAUUUGUUUGACAUUCUCCAUCGAGCUCAUCCUGUUUGUUGGGGCAAGCUCUCACCAUUUUCCUCGUACUGGUGUUUGGCCAAGGAGCAGCCACAGUCACACCCUUGGUGUGGAAAUAUUCGUAAGAUUGUGUCAUGGUGGUAGCAUCUUUGCUUUUGCUUAUUCGGGAAUCGUCAUAUCUCCAUACAUAGACAUGAGAGUCCUCACUAGCACAAAUCACAUGCUUUCCAUUAGUAGUCAAGCAAGCUGAUAUUUGGCUGCUUGUGUUGCGAAACCCUGAAACAGAAUAGUAACAUCACUCCAAAAACAAGAAUAUGUAUAACAACAGAUCAUUUACUUCCAAAUUAUUGCAUGAUUUAUGGCUAUUGGAGUAUCCACAAACUAAAAACAACUUGAGUCCAAUUUUAUGACAAAAAGACUUUCAUGUUCGAGAAUUGAUGGUUUAGCUUUCACCCCAAAAAAAAAAAAAAGAGAGCAGAAAGGUGAAACUUGUCUCACAAGCGAGCACAUUUCAUCAAGUAUUUUGUUCAAUCAUUGCAAUUGUGUUCACAAAUAUUGCAGUUAGCAUUUCAGAUAGUUAUCACAAAGAAAAAAUCUAUUUAUAUUCUCUUUUUAAUACGUUCUCCCCGACGUAAUAUCACAUGUCCAAACUCCAAAGAGAAGUUGGAUUUUGUGAUCAUUUUCCUGUGUUAGAACUACAUAUUACUGCCAAAGCAAUCUCUAUUCUAUUGUUCAAAACCUGAAAUGUAUCCACAUCCCUGACAUGACAAACUAAUACAUAUAUCCAAUAUCAAAAGAAAUGACAGUAACUUCUUAUAGUGAAAAACAAAGCUUUAAUUUUGACUGCAAAAAAUACUAAAUGCCUCAAAAGAAACUAAGUCUUUCUUUGUUUAGCUGUCAUUUUCCAAUUGUAGCAAUAUGGUUGUCCUUGUGAUGUCAACACAAAUCUUGUGACUGUUUUACUGUUUUAAUACUUUAAAAAUAAUCAAAAGAGUCUUUGUUUGUAAUAACUGAAUCCAACUUUUCAAAUUUCUCAUCAUUUCAGAGGAAAAAAACAGAUUAAUAACAUGGAUUAUGAUAUAUAUGAUUCAUAUUAGCAUUAGCCUUAAUUGGUAAAAGGACAACGCCAUGGAAAAAAACUCGCAAAUACUAACUGAAGUAGACUGUUUGAUCCUUAAUGAGUUGGUAAAAUAUGAUUGUUUUGCAAGAUGAUGACUUUAGUAGAAUAACAAUGUUUUGGUAGAAUAUGAUUGCUGUGCUAGAUGAUGACUCCAAUAAAAAAACAUUUUUUCUAAAUAUAAGCUCAGAAAGGCAUUCUCAUGCAAGAUCUGAGAAACUCUUCAAGAGUUUAAUAUGUGGGUUGUUAUUCUUUUCUUUAGACUAGUUAUUAGCAACGAUUUAAAAAGGCGCUCGGGCGCUCGCCUAGGCGCUCGGGCGAGGCGAGCGCCCGAGCCCAAGCGCUGGGCGCUUCGGGCGAGCGCCUGAGUUAACCAAGGCGACCGGGCCAAGAUUUUAGGUCUGGUUCGAUCCUGGUUCGAUCUAUAAUGGUUAGUUGGUUCAAUCAAACCAACUAAAACUGAUAUAAGUGACAAACAAACCGUAACCCUCGCCGCUGUCGAUCCCGUUGCUCGCCGCUGUCGCCGCUCGUAAACGCUGCCACUGUUGCCACUCGCAAACGCUGCCGCUCGCGCCUCUCGCUACUCACCGCUCCUGCUCCCGCUGCCGCUGCUCACCGCUGUCGCUGCUCGCAAACGCUGCCGCUGUCACCGCUCCCGCCUCUUGCUCCUGCUCCUGCUGCCGCUGCUCGCAAACGCUGCCGUUGUUGCCGCUCGCGCCUCCCGCUGCUCGCUGCUCCCGCUGCUGUCGCCGCUCACCGCUACCGCUUCCUCUUUUCUCAGUCAGCAGGCUCAACAUCCCUUUACACUUCCUUUUAACAGUAUAUGUAUACUGUAUACUGUUAAAUGUUAAUAUUAUUAAGUUUAUUUGAAAUGAUUAAUUUUUAAUAUUGUUAAUAGAUUAAUAAUAUAUUAUUUUAAUUUUAAUAUUGUUAAUUUUUAUUUAUUUGAAAUUAUUGCUAGGUUUCAACAUAAAUGACAAGUGUACAGAGCAACUCAAUAGAGUCUCCAAUGGCAUAAAAAAAGAUCCUGCAUGGAAGUAUAAUUAUUUGAAGGAUCCGAAAAAUCCUAAUGCAGUGACUUGCAUAUUCUGCGAUAAGACUACUAGAGGUGAUAUUUUUCGUGCAAAACAACAUCUAGUAGGAAAUUUCAAGAAUACAACAGCUUGCAAAAAGUGUCCACCUGAGGUAAAAGAAGAGUUGCUGAGUUAUAUGAAUGAAAAGAAGACACAAAAGAAUGAAUCUUACAGGAAUUUACCAGAAGACAAUGUUGAACAUCUCAGGGAUGAAGAAGAAGAUUAUUUUAUGAGUAUUAACCCAAGUGGAAAAAGAGUAUACGACAAAAAAAGAAAAGAAGUUGUGAGUACUAAUAAGGGUAAAAAAGGACCGAUGGAUCUAUAUAUGUUUUAAGGAUCCCAAAAACAACAAGGGCAAGCAGGAGGCUCAAAAUUUAGACAAACAAAUAUAAGUGAUGCUUGUGAUAAAGAAAUAAGAGGAAGAACAAUUCAACACAUUGCUCGCUUCUUCUAUCAGGCUGGUCUUCCCCUUAGUACAACUCGUUUAGACAGUUUUAAGGAUAUGAUUGAAGCUAUUGGAAGAUAUGGUGCAGGAUUAAAACCUCCAAGUUAUUAUAAGAUGCGAGUUCUAUUGCUGCAAAAAGAAUUGAAUUAUACAAAUGACUUACUAAAGGGUCAUAAAUUAUCAUGAGCAAUACAUAGUUACUCUAUUAUGUCAGAUGUUUGGACUGACAGGAGGCGCAGGAGUAUAAUUAAUUUUAUGGUUAAUUGUUCUUUAGGGAUUAUGUUUGUGAAGUCAAUAGAUGCUUCAUCUUUUGUAAAAUCUGGAGACAAGAUAUAUGAUUUACUUGACAACUUCGUGGAAGAAAUUGGAGAACAAAAUGUCGUUCAAAUCAUAACCGACAACGGAAGCAACUAUGUUUUAGCUGGUAAUAUUCAUCUUUUGAAUUUGUUAAUUAUUUUAUCUUCAAUUAAGUGUGUUAAACUCUUAAGUCUUAUCAUUUUUGUUAUCCUUUAUCUCAGGUAAAUUGCUUGAAUAAAAAAGACAACACUUGUAUUGGACUUCAUGUGUAGCACAUUGUAUUGAUUUAAUGUUGGAGGAUAUUGGAAAGAUCUUAGAAAUCAAGAAAACCUUAGAAAGGGCAAUUUUUGUUGUUGGAUUUCUUUAUAAUCACAUUGGAGCUUUGAAUCUGAUGAGAGAAUUUACAGGGAAUAAAGAAUUAGUGAGACAUGGUGUCACCAGAUUUGCUACUUCAUUCUUGACAUUACAGAGCGUGCAUCGUCAAAAACAUAAUCUGAGAAACAUGUUUACCUCUGAGAAAUGGGUGACAAGCAAAUGGGCAAAAGAAGAAAAAACAAGAGGGUUGUUGAUAUCAUUUUAAUGUCAUCCUUUUGGAAUCAUGUAGUUUAUAUAUUAAAGGUAAUGGACCCUCUUGUUCGAGUCCUUCGAUUGGUGGAUAAUGAAAAUAAGCCUACAAUGAGAUAUAUUUAUGAGGCUAUGGAUAGAGCAAAAGAGACGAUUAAAAAAUCUUUUAAUGAAAAUGAAGAAAAAUAUAAGAAAAUUCUUACAAUCAUUGACGAAAGAUGGAAUUGUCAACUUCAUCGUCCCUUACAUGCAGCAAGAUAUUAUUUGAAUCCUGAAUUCUUUUAUAAGAUUAAAUUUGUUAGAUUUAAUGCAAAAGUUUUGGGUGGGUUAUAUCAGUACGUUGCAAGAUUUGUUCUCAGCCUUGAGGUUCAAGACAAAAUUAUUCAUGAAUUAUCUUUAUAUAAAAAAACCGAAGGUCUUUUUGGAAUUCCAAUUGUCGUUCGAUCCAGGACAAUUACGUCUCCAGGUAUUAAUAAUUUGAUAUAAUUAAUUUCAUAUAUAUUAUGUUACUAUAUUAUUGCUAAUAAUAACAUAAAUUUUGCAGCUGAAUGGUGGAGCCUAAUAAUUUGAAAUUCUACCCCGAACUUACAGCAAUUUGCUAUCAAAGUACUUAGUUUGAUAUAUAGUGCUUCGGGUUGUGAGCGAAAUUAAAAUGUCUUUGAGCAUAUAAGGAUCACUAAAUAUUUUUAUUUUAAUUAAUUUAUUUAUUUAGAUAGAUGUAUUAAUAUAUUUUUAAAUUAUAUGACAUGACAGAUUCACUCGAAGAGAAGAAAUCGAUUGGAACAUCAACGAUUGUACGAUCUUGUUUACAUAAAGUAUAAUCAAGCUUUGAAGGCUCGUCAUGAUUUGUAAAAUAGAUUUGAUUCAAUCUCAUUGCAAGAUAUUGAUGAUUCAAAUGAGUAGUUAGUAGGAGAAAUGGGUGCUAACUUGCAAGAUGCUGAAGACGAGCUUGUAUUUGAAGAUGAUAGAUUGACAUGGGGAGAUGUGACAAGAGCUUCAGGUGUUGGAGAAUUACAAACAUAUACAAGACAGAUGUCAAAAAGAAAAAUGAGUGCAAAAGCAUCAAGCUCGGCUCCUACUAUUGUUGAAGACAUAGAGAAUGAAACAUAUCUUGAUGAAAACGAAGAAGUUGAAAGACAAGAGGAAGAAGACGAAUUCAAUGAAGAUGAUUUGUGUGAAAAUGACGAUAAUAUUGAUUAUGAUGAAUGAUUUUGAUGUAAAAUUUUAUUGUUUUGAAUUUUGAAACCUUUUGUUAAUGUGACAUUGUGAUUUUGUAUCUUAGAUUUUCUUAAUUUAAUAGUAUAUUUUUAUUUAAAAUUUUAAAUAAUUAUAUUUAUUAAUUAUAUUAUAUAUUUUUAUAUUUUAGCGCCUCGCUUCUCUCAUGCGAGCGCCUAGCGCCUCGGGUGUUUUUGGACCUUGGCACCUUUUGACACCUAGCGCUUUUUAAAUCACUGGUUAUUAGGCAACAAGGCAACCUCAACUGGACAGAUAGGAAUUUGCUAAGAAAUUCAGUUAUUCAGCAUUCAAAUAAUUAUGACAUUACUUGUUGUGCAUAAUCUAAAUAAGGCAGUGAUUCCAAAAAUUCUUCCACUAGGUAUCAAAGCAAAAUAUUUUUACCUUUAAAUUUGUGGACCAGUUCAUCACCAUCAAGAACCCUAAUUCGUGAAUCUGCAGAUGUUACUAGCACCUUUGAGGAAUUGCCAGGGGCAAACUGUUGAAUACAACUAAUCAGAAACCGUAGCCGUAUCCUAUCUUAUUCUUCAACAGAGAAGGAAAACCUCAAAACUACAAAAAUCUUCAAUAAACAGUUUGCAGAUUACACCAGAAUACCUGGAAACCAGUGAUUUUCUUGUGUUUAGACUUCCCUUUUCUGCUUUGCAAGUCAACUUGAGUUUUCUGAAGAAGCCUAUUGUCUAAGAGCAAUUGAAGACAAUAAAACCAUUGGCAAAUGAAGACAACAACAGCUGAUUUGAGACAAAUUCAAACAAAAAUGUAGAGUAUUAAUUGCUUCAUACCAGAUGUGUCGUACAAGUGGCAAGUCCCCUUGUGUGAACCAACUAGAGCACCCUGCAAGAUAACAAGUGAAAGCAUUAUUUAAAACAUAAAUAAAGACACAAUCAAAAAGCAAACUUUGAGAAGUAUGUCCUUUAAUCGGAAAAAAGAUGUUAAUUGUUAAGUCUAUGAACCUGGCCAUCAGGGGUAUAACAAGCAGCAGUGACCAUCUCAUGCAAAUCAUUCCAAUCAACAACUUGACGUUCUGGAAUACUCCAUAUUCGGACUUUCUCAUCAAGAGAACCACUGAUGAAGUAUCGGUCAUCAACGGGAUUAAACUGAAUGCAAGUUACUGCAUAAAGCCAAAAUCAAGAAACAUCAUAGCAACAUAAGCAAAAUCAGUAAAAGCCAAAACACCAAGAAGGGAAGAAAAAGAAAAAAAGAAAAAGAGAGUAAAGAAUGGGAUAUCAUUAAACAUGAUUUCAACUUACCAUAGUCACUAUGUGAGAAUACUUUUAAACAGGAAUUGCUUGACAUGUGCCAAAGUCGAACUGUUUUGUCCAUUGAAGACGAAAGCAGAUACUGAUAAAAUUCAAGCAGAUAAAGCAUUUUACAAAGCAGUUUUAUAAUCAGUGUGGCAAAACUCCUAAAGUCCAAACAUCAUUUUCACAAACACGUACUGCCAGGGAAACUAAAUAGCGCAUAGAAGAAAUACAAAAUUGUAACAAGAGCUUUAGCUACUUCUAUCAGGAUUUCUGGAACUAACAAAGUAUAUGAUUAACCUGCAGCAUAGGUGGUAUCUGUCAAUGGAAGUAAUAGAAGAGAGGUACUCUACCAGACAAUCAAAUUUAUUUUAAUGGCAACAUAUUUUAUAAGUUUAAUAUAACUUCUUCAGUGACACAAGAAAUACAUAAGGCUGAACUUAUCACCAUUACAAGAUUGCUUGGAUGCAACCUGAGUGUGAAAGGAUGGAGUAAUGGAAAAUAGUCUCCUAGUGUGCAAAUGUAAGGUGGCACAUAAUUUACACUCUUUCCAGACCUUGCUUUGGUGAAAGCCUUGUUCUUUUGAUUGCCCUUUCAGAGACCCUAUACUCUUCAAAGGAAUUUAUCAAAGCACAACCAUAUCAGAAGCAUCACGGAGAUAGACCAAAUGUGUAAAUUUAAAUUUUCUCAAACGUGUAUGAAAAUAGGCUAAAAAUAAUGCAUAAGGUUGCACAGAGGGCCUGUUUAUGUGUCAACCAAUUACUAUCUUAAAUGCAGACAACCAUUAUCUCUCAUAUCAGAGGAGAUCGAAAACUCCAAUUCAGGAGGAAAACCAUCAUUCCAAUACACCCUUAGCUAUUAGCUCUCACAAAACUUACUAAGCAGUGAGGCAGUUCGAUUUCCCUCCUUAUAGUGAGGCAGUUCGAUUUCCCUCCUUAUAAGUAUGCAUAUUUUCACACUCCUCAAAACAACCAAGCAGCUCACAAAUAUUUAUAUAUAAUACACAUUCACAAUGGCCUAUGGUGGAUUGGCAUUUCAAUUAUGAAAUUACAGUUUUUAUACGUCUUCCACGAGAUGGUGCUAACAUGUAUUUGCCAAAUACUUUUAGAAAUGUCAAUCAUAAAUUACCCUCAAAUAAACUUUAAACAUUUUUAUGAUGCUGGAUAAACAUGUCUUGUGAUGACUUUCCCUUAUUGUACAGCAUUAACACAUCACUCUUUAUAUUCAUACUUUCAUAUUCAUACAUGAUUUAAUAACUGAAUCAGAUCAGGACAGAUUUUGAUGGCUUCAGCCAUCUUACAAAUAUGCAUCAACAAUUUUAUCAACUAACAAUCUGUUUCGGCAGUUUGAAUGGCUUCUGUUAAAUGUCACAUUUAUAGCUAGGGAGACCCUAUUCGUAUCAGCGAAUCGUGGUUUACAUAAAAUUGAUCAAAGUAGAAAUCAUGGUUACAAUUUCUCUAGGAACCAAUGACCAAAAAUCAAAAUACGAUGUGAGAAUUACUUGCCCAUAGAGAAAAAUCAGCAUGUCAUCCCCUUUAAAUUCAUUCAUGAUUACCAAAUUGACCAUGAUGAUGACAAUUUUCAUACAAUAUGACAGUUAACAUGUUCAUUACUUAAGAACCUAUGUUGAUCUGAAUGUGCUAACAUCAAUCCAUUUUCAUGAUCAACUUUCACAAGAAUAAAGCGACUUUUAAUUUUGUUGAACCUGCCUAACAAUGAGCAGCAAAAUUGGUCCAAUAACAAAGGUAAAACUUUUGCUCAUGCUCUAGCGGACCAACUUACUACACAUAUCAUCACGAUUCACAAUUCACUGGUAAAUGGUAAUAUUAUUCCAAGCCUUCAAAAGUCCAAUUGAACCAAACCAUGGAAACAUAGAUCGUUAUCUAUAGCUUCGUGAUCUCAGCUACAAUCAAAUUACUAAUUAUUAUAAGCAACAGCUGGGUGUACUUUCACAAAAGUCUCACAACAUUGGACAAUAUUUCAAAUUAGUAGUUCUCAGGAUCCUAUUAACUUAAAGCAUGUAUGACUUUUAUCAGAACUUACAUUUUUAAGAAAUUAAACUAAUAAAUUACAUGAUCAGGAUAAACUUUUUUAUGCCCUGCAAAUUCUUUUUCUGACUGCAAAUAGGUUUAUGACUGCAUUCCAUCAAAGAAUCUUUCAAAUUCUAAUACAGAUUUAAUACCAUGUAUAAUUACAAUAUUCACAAAUAAUAUAGUUAUUUCUAGUUCUAUUUGUCAAUAAGGAACUAUUAAAUUCAUUCGGCUUAUAGAUUUCACAUGAAAGAAUUAAAAGACAAUUCUGGUUCCAGAUCCCAGGUUGUUUAAAAUCCAUGAACAAGAUGAACAAUUUCUUAGUACUUUCUAUCAUCAACCCUAAAUACUGAAAACUAAGAUCACAUAUCUUUUGCCUGAAGACAAACCUAUUUCAUCCAUAUGCAGAGAUGUAAUCAAAGAAAAUAAGAUAUACCUGCGAUUUGGACCAAGAGAGAUCAAGGACAUCAUCUAGGUGUCCUCGGAAAGAGUGCACAGGCUUCUCUGACAGAGAAAACAAAUAAUCUGGUACCACCAGAGGGUCCAAACACAGAGAUUUCCUACUGCCCACGACCUUUGCUCUUCUCUCCUUUUCCCAGUGGUUCCUCUCUGGAUUAGCCAAAGACAAUCGCUCCGGCAAACCUUCGAUAACCGACACAAUAGAUGGAUUGCAACUAUCAUUCCCCCAUGAAGCCUUAUCAUUCAGCAAAUCUCCCAUGCUGUCAAUCUCCAAGACCUCCGACACAUGGAUGACUCGAUCCUCCCCUGCACUGGCCAAGUAGCGCCCAUCCAAGCUGAAUUUGAUGCUCCAGAUGGACCCAUUAUGCGCCUGAAGUUCCUGGCUCAUGAACAACCCACUGAGGUCUUUUUGGGACUUACCAUACUGCCGGACUUUAAUUUUCUUGAGGUCAUGACGGAGGCAAUGGGAACCGUCCAGGCUAUCAUCGGUGGCCGAGCUCGGCCUCCUCCCUCCCUUCUCUGACGAAGAAUCUUUCUCAUCACUGCUCCUGCGGUCGCGGUUGUGCCCUCUGCCUACCAUGGUCCCAGCUACAUUCUUGAUGCUUCUGAGCCAACUUCCCCUCUUCUUCCACCUCGACCCUCCCCCGGACCCACCGCCACCAGGGCCUCCGGGGUGGCCGCUGCUGUUGGUGGAGUCCUCCAAAUUCUGACGCCUCAUCAAUUCUUGAACGAUGGGGGAUUUCCCGACCCACAACUCGAACUCCUCCACCGUGAGCUGCCGUCCUGUCCCGACCUCGCUGAGCGUGUUCCACAUCCCGUCCUCGCGGAACUCCUUCACCAGGAAUUCCCUCCCGUCGUCGAGACUCUUGAUCAAGUAACGGGGGUCGUCGCACAAAUUUUCUCCAUCGACCCGGCGAUUGCUCUGGGAGACCUCAAGAAUCCGAAAUCUCGCGUCGAGAGGCGGCUUUCUCGAGAACUGCUGCUGGGUUAGGGGUUUGCUCCGUGGACCAGGAACCACGGAGCAGUCGGAUCGGGACCGGGCAUUUCCGGAGGGGAAGGCAGGGAUGGGGUCAGGGGAGGAGGCGGAUCUACCCAUCCCAGGGUCCCGGAUCGGAGCGAUGGCGCCGGUGGGUCCGGGGCGGGAGAGGGCGGGGUCGCCGGCGAGGCCGAGGUGGCGGAGGAGGCGGCGGCGGCGCUCCUCGACGGAGGCCGGUUCGGAGAACCAGACGUCGAGGGAGCGCAGCGGGGGGAGGCGGAGGCGGCCCCGGCGGCGGUGCCCGACCACAGAGGACUCAUCAUCGGAGGCGGAGGCGGAGGUGGAGCACGACGACGACAGGAUCCGGUCCAAGGACUCAUAGAACUCCUCCUCUUCCUCCUCCUGCGGCGAACCGCUGCUGGUCGUCGUCAUAACGGGCAUUCGGAUCGCGAGGCGAGGGGGCAAAGCGGUUCGGAGCGGGAUUUAUAUGCCACGACGGAAGGAGAGGGAAGGAGCGAAGACCGAGGGGAUAUGAUAUGAUGAUGCUGUUGCUGUAGCUCGUAGUUGUUGUUGCCGCUGUUAAGGGGGAGGAGUAGCCGUCGUACAGUAGUCGUAGUAGGUGUGUAUACCGUAUACGCCUUCAAAUGUACAGUGCGCCCAAAUCGAUAUGCUUUUUUUAACUAAGGAUUUCCAGAGGGUUGCGUUGUAAAUAUCCCUGAUAUGUAUGAUAAAAGCAAAUCAAAAAAUUCUCUCGGAAAUAUAGCCAGCUACAGCUGUUAUGUAGGCUGCUACCAUAUGACGAGCGUGGGGAAGAAAAGGCUGCAAAGGCAUCAACCAAAAACCAGUUUCUUUUACCCAUGGUGGUCAAUAAUAACUGAUGUGGUACAAGCACCACUGCAUGAUUGAGACCACUAAUGGCAGAGCCAUCCCAUUUAUAGCCCUUUCCUCUCUCUCGCUUGAUUGAUUUUCUUACCUCUCCCUGGCGUGCUCUUCGUUCCACCCACAGCAUUUGGAUCUCCAUCAUCGGUCCACCAAGUUUUGCACUAGUGGCAGAAGCAGAAGAACUCGGCUUGUUCUUCGGCUUUCAUGAACCGAAGCGUAUCGCAAUAUACCAAAGCUUUGGUGUUGCAGUGAUCAUAGCCAAGGGCCGAGCAGUGAAAGAAGCUGGUCAUGAUUUUAUGGAGUGCCAUGGAGGGAGGGGUAGAAUUAUGGAUCCAAAUUCUUCUUUCCGACAACAACUAGUCCUCUUGGCGUCCGGCCUGUAUAAUUUUAGGAAAAGAGAGAUUUCCGACGGAAGAAUCAGCAGGGACCAUGUACUGUUGGUCACCACGUAUGAAACAUGCAAUAAUCACCUCCACCAUUAACCUCUCUCGCAGCAACCAGAAGGUAAAAAAGCAAUGCCUCCUCCUCCUCCUCCUCCUCCUCCUCUUUUUUCAAAGAUGAAGGAUGACAAUGGAGGGGACCAACAAUGGCCAUCGACACUUCGAUAUUGCUCUAGGUAAUCUUAAUUUCCCAUUUGUGUCAUCCAAUGUCUCCUCACCUCCUCCUCCUUCUCUUCCAUGGUUACAGUUUUUACAGGGAAGGAGUAAAACCCGGAUCUUUGGUGACACUUAAUCAACACCUCAAGAAAACAAGCGGGCAUGCUGCUACCCAAGGAAUAACUUUUGACUUCGGAUCUCUUUCGGUAGGACCCGGCGCAGAAUACUGUGCCAUGUAUGGGAAUGAAUGGUGCAGUGGCCAGAGCAGAUGGUUCUGAGGUUUUUGAUGGUCGUCUUCUGCGCGUGCAUGCACUAGGGAAUGAGCAAAUGGGCAUAUAUUUAGUGCAGAGCCACAGAAGAACCGUGGGUUGCAGAGUUAUAAAAGCAUGGAGCAGAAACCUUAAGGCUUUGGAUGCUAUAGAUUUGGCUGGGGCAUCAACUGGAAAGAGAAGCUUCCUUCUGAACUCCAAGCGAAUGGUGGCUUCUGCAUGCUGGGUUCCAUACUGUCAUGUGCAACCACAUGACCUGUUCCUACACCCACUUUCAAAAGCUGUGAAGCUAUGAAUGAAUCAUUGAAAAAGGUAGCUAUAAACUGAUACAUUUACUUAAUCCCUUCUCCAUCGUUGGUGAACACACAUCUUCCAGGGAGAAAAAGAAGAACUGGUUGAUGAAGAAAACCCAAGUGUUUUACGUGUCUCCUUCUACAGUGCACUGGGAAUGAUCAUUCAGUGGUCCUAUCAUUUGAAUCGAAAUGUACCAUUCCAGCUGUAACCGUGGCCCUAACUCUCAAAGAGCAGGGACCAUGAAGAUCCUCGAGCUCAUCUUUUACCGUCACUGUAAGAACACACCGUCCUCUCGCUGUAAAACGCAGAAACCACGCAUCCCUCGUGAACUUUCUUCAAAGAAGCAAGAUCAAGAUCCUGAGAUGAUGGAGAUGAGAGAGAAUCUGCAGCGAUGGAAGCUUGCUUUGCAUGUAUCGCUGUCACCGACCUUGAUGCCCUCCCCUCGUUGUAGUUUUCACUGCCACUAUUGGCACGCUUGUGUACAGUGUUGGAUGGUACGGGGAUCGCAAGUUGAUGCUGCGAGAGCGAGCAGGCGUGAGCUUCUGGGCUUCAUAUCAUUUGGAGAAUGCUCUAUCUUUCCUUAGUUUAUAUGUGUAAUUAUACCCCAUCCCUCUACCUAUUAUCUCAACUAUCAUGACAUCAUACCUGCACGACUGCAGCUGAGGUCUUCUUCAAGUUAAAUCAGCAUGUAUGAACAGAUAUAUACUGAUCUGGAAAGUGUGUUGAACCUUUGGGGUUUUACAAUGGAAUAAUGUGUUAAUCCUUACACUGAAGUUUUUUAGGCUUUUUGAAGGCAUGUUUCUACUAAAAUUUAGAAUAUAAUAAGUACAAAGAUUAUUGAACUUUGACGAGAUUUUUAUGAUUUUGUAGAUAUAACUUUACUAUCUAUGUGUCGUAAACACUUCAUAACAUAAACAUGCCACAAUUUCUCUUAUAACUCUACUGUAUCGUGGUAGAGAGCACUAAGAGUGUUGAUGAUAGGGUGUGCAAGGGAUGAUAGUAGUAUGGGAUGUAGGAAAGANNNNNNNNNNNNNNNNNNNNAGUAGUAGGAAAAAAAAAAAAAAAAAAAAAAAAGAUAAAAUCAAAAUUAGAGAGAAAGUAAACCUAAUGUGAUAAUAAGCCUUAGCCAUCUAAAGCGGUAACAGGUGGGUGCUAAUGGAGAGGAGAGAAAGGGUUUCCUGCCGAGCCUCAAUGGUGGCAUCAUCGUCGAUGGCUUCUUGCCUCGUCACCAUAGCAAGAGGUCAUCAAGAUGGUCAUGAUCGUCAUCUCACUUGCUAGUUAUAGAUAAUCGUCAUCUCACUUGUUAGUUAUAGAUCUCACUUGCUAGUAAGAGGUCAUCAUUAUGAGUAAUAGCACGUGUAACAUACAGUCUUUUUGCAGUUUUUUGCUUAUAUAUAUAUAUAUAUAUAUAUAUAUAUAUACAUAUAUAUAUAUAUACAUAUGUGUGUGUCCAUAGAUUUAUACAAUCGAAAUUGGAUCAUGAUGAGAUCACGACAAUGAGAUUGAUUCGUCUUUCAUCACAAACCUUAAAGAAUCCUUAUCAUAAGUUACUCGAGAGGGACAUCGAAAUAACCGAAUAGACUAGUGUACUAUAUACCCAUCCAUAUAAUGGAACAGCUAGUCUCAUAGCUGCUCGUGUAGGGACACUAGGAAUACAAUGCAGGUGCUCCUUGGAGAAUGAGUUCCCUAAUUGAUUCGCUUACGGAAUGUUGGAUGGUUGAUAAUACCUCAUUAUCAAAUAAUGAUUCCAUCGACCCAAUGGUGUAUUUAGUCCCUAAACUUGAGACACCAAGGAUGUCCUGCAUGGAUAAUCCACUCUUUGAUACCGAACUUAUGUUUGGAAGUUCCAAAUCUAGUAUAACCGAUUAUUAGGAGUGAAAGCCAACCUUACAAGGGCUAUUGAGUAUCUAUAGAGAAUCAUCCACUAUCGAUGUCAUAAGAGGAAUAUCUCAUGUGUUCUUAGUCAGAAAAAUCCUUAGCUAAGGUCAUUUGGAUUGAGAGAGAAAGAGUUCUUUGAGAGAAUUCGAUUAGAGCGAAACUCGAGUAGAAACCAUAUAAGUCUGAUAGCACCUACUAGUCAUAGGUGCCCAGCAAGCCAAUCAUGUGAGUGAUGGCAUGUGUGACAUGGCACACAGUCUUUAUUAUUAUUAUUAUUAUUAUUAUUAUUAUUAUUAUUAUUAUUAUUAUUAUUAUUAUUAUUAUUAUUAUUAUUAUUAUUAUUAUUAUUAUUAUUCUCUCACUUUAUAUUGCUUAUUGCAUACAUAUAUUGUGAUGUCCAUAGAUCUGUGUAAUGAUAAUUAAAUCGUGAUGCAAUCACAAUAAUGAGACUGAUUCACCUUUAAACAUGGACCUUAAAUGAUACUGGUCAUAGGUUACUCGAGAUAGACAUCGAGAUAACCAGAGAGACUAGUGUACUGUAUACCUGUCUAUAUGAUGAAGGAGGCUGGUCUCAUAGCUGCUCAUAUGGGGACACUAGGGAUACAGUGCAGGUGCUCAUUGGAGAAUAUGUUCACUAAUUGAUCCGCUUAUAGAAUGUUGAAUGGUUGAAGAAACCUCAUUGUCGGACAGUGAUUCUAUCGUCCCAAUAAUGUACCUGGUCCUUAGACUUGAGACACCAAGGAUGUCAUGUAUGAGUACUCCACUCUUUGAUACUGAACUUAUAGGUUUGAAAGUUUCAUAUCUAGUGCAGCCGGUCAUUUGGAGUGAUAGCCAACCUUACGAGAGCUAUUGAGUAUCGAUAGAGGAUCUGAUAGAACCCAAGCAAGGUUAGGUCCUACUCAACCAAGAAGCAACUAAUAAAAGCCCUAUGAGAUUAUAAUAAACUUCACCUAGUUGUCUCUAUCCUAUAAAGAAGAGUGGCUAUGGUUUAUAUUUGGGCCUUUGGGAUUCCUAGCCAUCACCCCCUUUUAUUGGGUCGGUUGGCUAGGGUUGAGGGCAAAAAGGGUAACUCACUUAGGAAGCAGCUCUUAGGGCUAGGGUUUGGAGCCCUAUAUAAGCAUGUAGCCUCCAUCUCUUUGGGAAUAAGAUCUAUCUACAGUUGCAGUCAUUUAGCCGACUUUUAGGAGGGUGGAACCCCUAUAGUGUUCCAAGGGUUGAUCCCCCUCAAAGAUCAAUCUACAUAUAAUUCCUCUAGGGUAAUAUCAUCUGGUAUCAGAGUAGCGAUCUUGUUGCUUUUACUGCCAUCCUUAUCGCCCACCACCAACUAAGUAAUUUCCACAAUUGCUCUUGAUAUCGCCAUCUCCACCGUCAUCUUCCGUCGUAGAUCAAAUUAAUCUACUACUGUCACCUCCAAUUGCAUCAGAGAUCUAGUAGUCUCCUAUCACCAAUAUCUUUUGUUACUAUAAUUUUUCAUUAAAAAUACUAAGAAGAAGUCCUUUUAUCUAUCUUGUUCUAUGAAUUCUUUUCGCCGUAAAAGUUAUCAUCUUUACGAACGAAGGAUUGCUGUAGAAAAUUUCAGUAGCAUAUUGUUGCCUUUAACCAAUCUAUUUACUAUCCUUUUUGAACAAAAUUUCUUAUACACUUUAUAGAUCGUCUUGGCUUCCAUCUGAGAUUGAUCUAUUAAGGAAUUUAUCUCUAAAUAUUCAUGUGUUGUAAAUUUUCGUCGUAAACUACUGGAAUACUUUUGAUGAGAAUUAUGUUAUCGCAACUUGCAUCAAUUUCCUUGCUAUUAUACUGCCAAAAUUCUUAUACACUUCAUAGAUCGUCUUGGCUUCCAUAUGAAAUUGAUCUAUUAAGGAAUUCAUCUCUAACAUAUUCUUGUGUUGCUGUAAAUUUUCAUCAUAAACUGUUGGAAUUUUUCAACGAGAAUUCUGUUAUCACAACUUACACCAAUUUCCUUGCUAUUAUACUGCCAAAAACUUCUUGAUCAAAUUUAUCAUCAUUGUUGUUAUCUAAAUUGAAAUUUUACUGUCAAAUUCCCUCCUCAAAUCUCUCAAUUUUUACUAAAAAUUUCAUCAUGAAACCGUUCUUUCUUCAAUGACAAUUCUGCUCUUACAUACACCAAUCUACCAACCCUUUCGGCCACCACUUCUCUCAACCGAUACAUGCUUUUAACCCGACAACAAAAGAGAGAUCUUAGCAUUACAAAUUUGGAGGCAUAUACUAUGGUAUCUGAGGAGGCAAUCAAUACUAAAUUUGAAGCCUUCAAGAUGCGAAUGGAGGAUAAGAUUCGGACUCUCUUUACCGAAAUCAGUUUGGGCCGACCACCGAGCCCGAAGAAAUUGCAUCAAGAAAAGAACUCUGCCCGAAAAGAUGACUACCAGGAGAGGGAAGGCUUUGUGACUGAUCCCUAUUAUCCAAUCAUAAGGGUGAACUUCCCUAGAUGGGAAGAAGGAGACUCGAUUGGUUGGAUCUCACGCGCGGAGUGAUAUUUUCGGUACCACAAAAUCGCAAACGCAUCUAUGGUGAAAAUUAUGGCUAUACAUCUUGAAGGGGAUGUCAUACAAUAGUUUGACUAGUUUGAACACACUCAUGGAGUCCUCUUAUGGCGACAAUUCAAAGAAGGACUGCUGAUCCACUUUGGACCAACCGAUUACGAGAACAUUGAUGAACAACUAGCAAAGAUCUGACAAACCUCCACCAUUCAGGAGUACCAAACUAGGUUUGAAAGGUUAUCUAAUAAAGCUCAUGAUUGAUCUAAAAAAUAGCUAUUGGGGACCUUUUAUUGAGGGCUUGAAGUCGGAGAUCUGGGGAGAAGUUAAAGUGUGAUAACCGUACACGCUUAUGGCAGCCAUAUCUUUUACACGACUUCAAGAGGAGCGAUUGAACCAUGAAGCCCGGAGAACUAGGGUCACUCCCCAACCACCCCCUACUAUCAACCGAGCCCCAGCACCAAAAAAGUUGACAAGAGAAGAGCUUCGGAAGCGAUCUACGGAGGGGUUAUGUUGGCAUUGCGACGAGCCAUGGAGCCGCGAGCAUCAUUGUAAAAAAGGGAGACUUCUUGUGAUUGAACUAGUAGAAGAAAAUGUCAUUGAACAUCUAGAAAAGAGCCUUGAAUGUGAAGAAGAAGAUGUGAAAGAAGAGCCACAAUUGACUGACUUUAUAGUACAUGCUGUCACAGACUUAGCUAGUUUUGCCUAAGUCGUGCGGCACCCUUGCGUGUCCGUCUGCAAAGGUCAGCCUCUCCGAAGCCUCCCAUUGUCCCUUAGGACCAACAAAAGAGAGAACGGGUUAGAGAGAACACCUCAAUCGGGAUCCACAAGCAAACAUCUCCGAAAAACACUUCAUAAACAAUGCAAAUUUCAAACAGACUUUACAAGCUCUGAAUAGUUGCAUAACAAAGGGUAAAAUGGUCCAUUACAGAUCGAAAAUCUCUCACACGUGUCCACAUGACACAACCUUUAUUUGUAAGCCUAAAGAGGCCACCAACCCAACUAAAAUGGGACUAUUAAGCCUUCGGUCGUCCCUCUACAUACUGUACAAGGCAUGAACAUACCAAAAGAUACGGACAUACAUAAGCAUUACAUCAAACAUCUUGUUUAGAAGUUUGUCUGUGACAUUCUCCCCCACUUAUUCCUUCGACGUCCUCAUUGAAGCCUUUGUCGACACUGCAACUCCUCGCCUUUGCUAAGUUUUAAAUCUUCUGCUCCAGCUACAAUGCGUCUCUUAGCUCCCAACUGCUCUCCGUUGUUGUUUUUUAGUAGUCGAACCUUUGAUCUGCCAUGCUGCUUCAACUCGCCAAUGACUCUGACUCUAGUGUGGGGUUUGCUAAGUUGUGUUGAUCCCUGUUGGUUCCUACGGAUCCUCUAGAUGAAGGAAAUGACCUUCCUUACUGCGCUAGUCUCUCAAAUGCCUCAUGCUGCUUGAACUGGGUGGAUACUUGUUUGAGUUUUAAUGAGCAUCGUCUCGUAAACUUCUAAAGUUUUGGGUCCUUCCUCCAUAAAAUUUACUUAUUGACUCUUAUUUCAUUUAGUUGUCACAUCCAAGUAGGUUCGCAUCACUUCCACUUUCGAUUGGCAUUUCGUUGGGAAAUGAAGCGGACAAUCUACUCUCAGUAGCACUGAUCACCGUUGGUGAGGAUUUGACAACUAUUGUCUUCCAUUAUCUUUGAAGGGUCUUUGAACUUGUGCAGAGCUCCUCUACUGGAUAGAUAAGAGAAUUGGGGUACUCAGUUUCGCCCAUUCUCUUAAUGGUUGAGAAGGCAAAGGUUACUUGACUUCGCCCACCUCCUCCAGGUUGUACUCCAUGCAUCGAGCUCGUUACUAGCCUUCGCCUACUCUUUGCUCACACUUCUGAAACACUUUAAGUGUUUGCACUCCUUGCGUUGAGUUAGUUACUGUGAUUCACCUUCUCAAUGCCAUCGAACUUCUGGAAUGCAGGAAGUUUUCACCCCAACUUGGAGUAAUUCUCUCAUAGGUUUGGUCACCUCUGGGAUUGUACCGUCUUCUCCAUCAACCCUGCCGCCUACUCCACUGAGUAGCAAAGGUAUAGCACCGCGUACUGCCUGCUUCGUUCCUUGGUUAUGCACUCUUGCAUAACCCGAAGUCCUUCACUUUCGGCUAUCUUGAUGAGAAGCACAUUGACACCGGUCUUACGAAGUUCUUCGGCCUCUGCCCUUCAGCCUUGUCUCAAUACUUAGAGAUUGCCUCUGCAUUCUCCACCUCCUCGGCCCCUUUCACGACCAAGUGCUCUCCCUCCAUGAGAGCAAGGGAUCAAUGUCUUUCACGGAAGUCCCGCCUCUGCGGUACCAUGGCGCUGCCAUGCCCAUGGCCCUACUAUCCGUCGUCUCGUAUCUGCAUCCAUUUUCUUCACAAUCAGUAGAUAUGCCUCUGUGGCACUCCUCCGAGUCCACCUCCAUUCUAACUAAUGCUUUGUUUUGGGUAGCUAAGUCCUUCUGGACUCGUCGUUGCUUCCUCGCCCCUUUCGACCCCUUGCUUCAACACAUCUGUGUUCUCCAAACAGUCUGUUUGGUCGAUGGAAAGAUAGAUUGCAACUCCCAUGCAUGGCCUCUGCCAUCACGUUGUAGGGUUUGCACCGAUUCUGUUCUCCUUAGCUUCCUUGGUAGCAACAUUCGCUUACUCGGCCUUGUCCUCUGACUUAUCGGGCUCCUUUAAGCGAAUAUGAGCUUUUGAGCAGUGCAACUCUCCAACUGCUUCGAUCAUACCUCUGCAUGAUCAAGUCCCUCCCAUGGAACUCACUGGUACUUGCAUUCAAACUUUUCCCUUGGUGGAACCCAGCCCCCAUAUGCUGAUGACCAAGGCUUUCAUCCGAUGCAAAAUUCGAUGCACGCACGGAAGACCCGCCUCUGCGGUACCAUAGCCUUCACUCCUUGAAUCCAUAGCCCUUCUUGCCAUCGUGUUGUUCACCGAAGUGGAGCUUCCAGUAGCUCCCGAUCAUACCUCCAUAUGAUCUAGUCUCUCACGGGACUAUGUCGUGUGUAUCGCAUUGCCACGAACUGUUCCACCACGAUCCGCUACACCAUGUCGCCUCCUGGUGACAUCUCCAUUGCAUUCUGAUCCUUGUGGAAUAAACUCGAAUUGUGAACCCUCCAUGUGUGGCCUCUGCCAAUACAUCGCAGGGUCUCUUCCACUUUCGAUUUUGUUCGCUCCUUUGGCAAUCGACCUUCAUCCACCUACUCUUGGGU